Molecule: long non-coding RNA, 68628 nt
Filed under: Aquilegia coerulea
Lineage: Eukaryota; Viridiplantae; Streptophyta; Magnoliopsida; Ranunculales; Ranunculaceae
Description: long non-coding RNA (ACOE_LNC000241)
Source: RNAcentral
AUUAUUUGUCUGGUUAUUAUUCAAAAAUAAUAAUAAUAGUGCUUCUAACUUCAAGUCAUCUCUUUGAAGACUUCAUGUCUUAUUGGUCUCAUGCAAUCUAUUUGUUAGGAACUUGUCCAUGUUAAUUGUGCAUGUCAGAGAAGAUGAAACGAAGAAGCCAAACUUGUUUAGUAGUGAUCUUCUUCUUCUUUUACUCCUCUACCUCCCUAACUCAUCUCUGUUUUGCAGCUGAUACCAUUUCUUCAGGUCAAUCUCUCACUUUUAAUCAAACUCUGAUAUCCAAAGGUGGUAAGUUUGAGCUUGGCUUCUUUACACCAGGUACUUCUCUUAACUACUACUACAUAGGAAUUUGGUAUAAGAAUAUCCCUAAUAAAACGGUUGUUUGGGUUGCAAACAGAGAUAUUCCUCUUACUGACCCAAGUUCCUCAGAAUUUAAGCUUUUAGAAAAUGGAAAUUUAGUUCUGUUAAACCAGUCAAAAUUUGUAAUUUGGUCGACAGAGUCGGCUUCAAAUGGGAAUGUUUCAUCCCAAGUAAUGCUUGGGGAUGAUGGAAAUUUUGUAUUGAGAACUGGGGUUAGGCCAUCUCAUACUAUCUGGCAGAGUUUUGAUUGCCCGACUGAUACAAUUUUGCCUGGUGCAAAGAUUGGAUACAAUAGAAUAACCAAAAUGCGACAGUCACUUACUUCUUGGAGAAGGUCAAUUGAUCCUGCAAAGGGGUUAUAUUCGGUAGAGCCAGACCCCGAUCGAGAUGAGUAUUUUAUCAAGUCGAAUCAGAAUCAGAAUCGGUCUUGGAGUAGUGGGACAUGGAAUGGAAUAUUAUUUAGCUUAAUUCCUGAAAUGAGAUUAAGGUAGUGUUUGUUUCAUUAAGCAUUAAGCAUUAAGUGCUUCUUAAGUGGUGGACAAAGUUAAAAUUCAGAAAUAAGUGUUUUUUAAGUUGUUUGUUUAGAACAAGCAUUAAGAACUAAUUGGGAUAUUUCAGCGAUUUUGGCCCAGCGAAAAUCUCAGGCUUAAUUUAACUUCUUAAUGCUUGUUGUAUUAUUUAGACAAUUCUACCCUUAUAAAAAUUGUUUUUAUCAUCCAUAACCAUUAAGUAAUGUCACAGUCAGAUUCAUUGGCUUAGUUAAUGGCCUUUCCUUUGUCUGAUCACUUUGAAAUUUUUACCAUAAGUUCCUGAAGAUUUCUGUUAUAUCAUAUCUAAAAUUUAGAAUUUUUAGACGAUCAGUUUGAAAGUUACAUAUUUUUUUGUGGUUGUUAUGUUUUACAAGAAAAAUUACGUUACAGUCAGAUUCGUUUUCUUAAUAAGGGGACUUUCUUUUGUCUGAUCACUUUAAAAGUUUUACUAUAUGUUCCUGACGAUUUCUAUUGUAUCAUAUCCAAAAUUUGGAAUUUUUAAACGAGUCGUUUGAAAGUUACAGAUUUUUUUGUGAUUGUCAUGUUUUAGAAGAAAAAUUACAGUCAGAUUCGUUUGCUUAGUAAGGGAUCUUUCCUUUGUCUGUUCACUUUGAAAUAUUUUCCAUAUGUUCAUGACGAUUUCUGUUGUACCAUAUCCAAAAUUUAGAAUUUUUAGACGAGCCGUUUAAAAGGUUAAGAUUUUUUUUUUUAAAUAUCAUGUUUUAGAAGAAAAAUUGGCGUGUAUAGUUUUGUUGUUAGAACAUUUUUAUGUUUGUACGACAUAACAAUAUAGUGUAGUUACACAAAUAUUUUGGCUAAGGGUGAACAUUCUCAUCUGAAGCACAACACUGAAUGGUCAACUUGCGCAACCAGAGUGCAAAUCAACUUUAGGUUUUUGGGUUAUGUGAUAAGGUACUAUGUAUUGUCAAAAUACUUUUCCAAUAAUAGGGUAACAUGGUCAAAAUCACACUUAUGCAUAAACAAACAAAUCAAAAACAGAACUUCUUAAAAAUGAUAACCAAACAACUUUUCCAGCAUUCAGUGUUCAGCAUCCAGGAUUAAGUAUCCAGCAUUAAGCAUCCAACAUUCAGUAUCCAGCAUUCAGCAUUUUAAACAAACACACCCUAAUUUACGGUUUGAAUUUUAGGUAUGUUAAGAAUGAGAACGAAAGCUACUUCACUUGUGAUGUUUUCAAUUCUUCUAUACCUUUUAGACUUAUGAUGAGUUGGUCAGGGCAACUUCAGCAUUUCGAAUGGGCUGAAAGCAUUCAAAGUUGGAACUUGUUUUGGUCAUCUCAACCAAGACAAUAUCAAUGUGAAGCUUACCUUAUAUACGGAUAUUGUGGUUCAUUUAGUGUGUGCGACCAGAACAACUUACCUUUGUGUAGGUGUUUAAACUGGGGUUUCAAACCACAAUCUCCAAAGGAUUGGAAUUUGAGCGAUUUUUCUGGUGGAUGUGUGAGGAUUAACAAUUUGCAAUGUAAGGACGAAGUCGGUUUUCUCCAGGAUUACCAACAAAAUGGGUUUUUCAAUCAACUGUUAAACGACGCUAUUAAAACUGCUGAUGAUUGCAAACAGUUUUGCUUGGAUGACUAUUCUUGCAAUGCUUAUGCCUUCAACAGUUCGUGUUUACUUUGGAAGAGAGAUGAGUUUGUCCGACCGCCAUUACAAAAAGAUCCAUUACAAAAAGAUGAAGGCCAACCUGCUGUCUAUAUCCAGCUCAGAGUAGCAGCCUCUAUGAUCCAAAGUUCAACCUCUGUGGUACCAAGGCCAACUUCCGGAGGUUAGAAUUUCUGAUUACUGUUGAUUAAUUUAAGCUAUUGAUUUUUUUUCCUUAAGGGGUGAUAAUAUAAAUGAAGAAUAAGGUGUACAAAAACGAGGUGCUAGUACCAGUUACAUCAACGAAAUCUGUAAUACACAUCGGACUAUCUAAUUAAUGGAACAUUUGGCAAAUUGUUCGAGUCAAACCAGGUCUUACAGCCAUUACCUAGAUAAACACCUUUAUCCACACAGAAGUCUACUGUGAAGUUUGCUUCCCUCUUUGAUGCUGCUUCAGAAUCUGUUUCAAUCCAGAGCUGGUCCAACCUUUCUCUAUUGCAUUUCCAAGUCCUCCAUAAUGCACCCAUCCUGCUUGGCAUAACAUUGUGAGCAAACUUCCCAACAAGUGACAAGUCAUAGCUGGUGCCAUAAUGUGUCUUUAAAUAACGUAUACGAAUCAUCUUUUACCAUUAAUCUUUAGCAUAACAUGCAUUUUGGAAAUAAUGUAGUGACUACAAAAAUACUCAUUUUAGAAUAACAAUGAAAAAGCUUGAGAAGCAUUAUCAUUUUGUUCAUUUCCAUUUACAAUUUUGGUCUACAGGUAAAAAACCACUGCAGGCCUACAUCAUUGUACUCAUUGCUGGAUCGAUUUUUGUUAGCAUCUUCAGUUGUUUUUGGUUUGGAUAUAUAAUGAAACAAAAAGGUAAACAGUUCAAUGAAUCAUACAACUAACUUUGUUUCCAUAUUAUGUUUUAUUUUAAUUGGUUAUUAACUAAAAAACAGAAAAAUUCAGGUAAACUCGGAUUUGAAACAACAGAAACAUCACUAGCAGAUUGCCAGAUUUGCCAGUAGAGCAUGAACCAGAACAAGGCAAAUUAGACCUACCUUUGUUUGAUUUCAAUGCAGUUGCAAUAGCGACAAACAACUUCUCAAAUAAGCUUGGGGAGGGAGGGUUUGGUCCUGUUUAUAAGGUAAUAUCAAAUUUUAAUCACCUUGGUCAAGUACGAGUUUGCAAAAUAAUCCUACAAUUACUGUGUAUCUUGUGAGUGAUGAACUUAAACAUAUUUUCCGCCCUCUAUUACCGCAUUGCAAGAACUGUUCUAGUCAUAUUCCAGUUGCUACUACAGGUUAGCACAUCAACACCAGGAACACAUUGGCAUAGACACCCCCACCUUCAAUAACAACGAAAGAUUGCAUGAUGCAAAAUGAAAGUGGACACAUACACAUUAGUUAAUACCCUUAUGAUAAAUUUAUCCAAUCUGUGGCGUAUAUUAGGUUCCUCUGCCAUGAUAAAUGCCCUUGUGUAAAUUUAUCUUCUUUCAGGAAGAAAUGGAUAUCAAGUUUAAUUAUUUGCGAUUUUGUCUUUCAUUUAUCUUUUUUUUUCCGGGUAAGCUGCUAGAUGAACGAGAGAUCGCAGUGAAAAGAUUAUCGAGAAGCUCUGGACAAGGUUUACAAGAAUUUAAGAAUGAGCUCAUGUUGAUAUCCAAACUUCAACACAGGAACCUUGUUAGGCUUCUAGGUUAUUGCAUUGGUAGAGAAGAGAAGAUUUUAUUCUACGAGUACAUGCCUAAUAAAAGUUUGGACGCCUUUCUCUUUGGUAUGUCGUCCAUAAUCUCUUUUCAAGAUUUACCCUUUCUCGAUUCUUUUCAAUACAAGAACUCAAUGAGGUAACAAUAAUAUGGUGGAUCAACAAUAAUAUCUUCUAAUAAAUGAUAAAUAGAAGUGUGGGUUCUUCCCUUAGGCGUUGGUGCAAAGUAUGUUCUGGUCUUACCUUGCUGCUCGAUUAUCUCAUUUGGUGGCCAGGUCCUUCUCAGCAAUUCAGCUCACCACCUUGGAGUAGUACUGAGUAGAAUUAGGAAUAUUAUGUGUUGUUCUCAUUACGAUACCUUUUAAAAGUACAUGUUUAAUACUUAGCACUAGGCUAAGGACUAAGGUCCUAAUGUACGUUAACGUUUUUUUACAUGUUCUGAUGAAUAUGAAAAUCAGAUCCCACCAAACAUAUUCUGCUAGAUUGGAGCAAACGCUUUCGCAUAAUUGAUGGAGUUGCACGCGGCCUUCUAUAUCUACACCGUGAUUCUCGACUUAAGGUGAUUCAUCGAGAUUUGAAAACCAGCAACAUUCUUUUGGAUGAGGAUAUGAACCUCAAAAUAUCCGACUUUGGUCUGGCAAGAAUUUUUGGUGGAAAACAGAUAUUGGCAAAUACCAGUAGGGUAGUUGGGACAUAGUAAGUAUUGAUUAUACAUAUUCUUGGCAUCACAUAACUAGGUUCAAGACUUCAAGUACAACUUCACCUUUUCUGCAUCAACCUGCAUUGCUCAUAGUCUAAAUUAUUUCGCAAUCAUUAUAUGUGUAGUAGAUACAUGUCGCCUGAGUAUGCCAUGGAAGGGAUAUUUUCUGAGAAAUCUGAUGUCUUUAGCUUUGUAGUCUUGCUUCUAGAGAUUGUGAGCAGUAAGAAGAAUAACAACUUCUAUUUACUUGAAGAAUCAUACAAUCUUCUAGGAUAUGUAAGUUAACACAAUUUUCAAUUCUAUUUGGAACUUACAGUUUAGUACUUAUAGAUUCCGUUAAUAUUGGUAAUAUUGUUUACUAGGUAUGGCUAAAGUGGAAGGAAAAUAAGGUGCUGGAGAUAAUGGAUCCAACAUUGGCCGAGUCAUAUAAUAUACAACAAUUGAUGAGAUGCAUCCAUAUAGGACUUCUUUGUGUGCAAGACCAUGCUCUUGAUAGGCCAACCAUGUCUGCAGUUGUUUCCAUGCUUGGUAGUGAGGGAACUCUUCCUCUUCCGAAGCAACCUGCAUUCACUAUUGAAAGGUCACAAUUCUCUAAAAUUCAUUUUAAUAUCAAUGAUGCAGUAUCUAUAAAUUCUGUUACUCUCACAAAUCCUGUAGGAAGAUAAGAUGGUGAGCAAGAGUACGUAUAAAACACUUGGCAUAACAACUAUCCUGUUAGAAGUUUAUUUAGCUGAUGCAUUAUAUCAAGAUUUAUUCGGUUAGAGUCAUAUGGAGUCGAACGUUAAAUUAGGGGUUUGCAAUUGCACCAUCAUUAAUGGUCUAUCAAGUAAUUACUUGAUGACGUGGUUCCUGACAUUGGCACUUUCUUUUCUAUAAAUCAAUAACACUGCAUCGCUAAGCUCAUAUUGAUCCACUCAAUUAAUCUGUAUAAUUGUUUUUUUCAUAUUUCAGACCCUAAGAUUCUACAUCACCCGAAUAUUAAGCAACAAAGAACAAACAACAACAAAUUUUUAGAAAUAAGAUAUUUAAAGGUACAUGAUGCCUUCUUUGAGAAACAAUUUCCCAAUCAGUCUUCACCUGGUACAUAUAAGUUUAACAUAAUAAUUUAAUGUGUGAAAAAAAAAAAAAGAAAGAGCAACUUGAAUGAAAGUUUGUUUCCCACACUCUUCCAAAGCAGAGAGAGGUGCCAUCUUUUACACUCCCAUAUCGUCAUUAAUGUUAUCCACAUAAAUUGUUUUCCAACCUAGAUCCUUAAGCGGGCAUAAAUAUGUUAAGAAAAUGAAGGAGUAGUAUAUGUUCAUCGAUCACUUGUACUUUUGUUAUCUUCCAAUGUCAAUGUGCAGUCAACGAAUCAGUUUUUGUGUAAUAUUCCAUGACGCAUCCAUCACCCAUUUGUCCCUACAUAUUCAGUAAUUUGAAGAGGUCAGUUCUUACAUAUUCAUGUUAAAAAACUGGGGGUUUAUGGAUAAGUGUGAUGAUCAACUAUAUGUAAGUGUGUAUCUGAUGAUGCGUUACCAAAAAAAAGUGUAUCUCUGAAGAUGAUGUGAAGGAAACAUUUUGAAGGAUGGUUGGUUUUUCAAGGAGUAGAUAAUCAUAUGAUUCAAUGGGAGAACGGAAAAAGAGAUAAAGUCCCAUACACUGGAGUGUUGCGUAGUAAUCUUUGACUUAUCAAUUAAAAUCAUCCAAUCCCCAAAAGAAAAAUUAAAAUGGUGGAGAAUAAAAGCUAAUGCCUGGUAUAAAUGCUAACACAUAUCCUUGUGGCUCCAUCACACAAAAUUCAUGGAUAAAUUAAUUUUAGAAAAAAGAAUAAAAAAUGAGUGGUUAAGGUUGGUAAGAUUCUAGUGCAAGUUCUGUGGUGCACACUUCUGUAAAUAGAGGAAUUAAGAAUAUGGAUUGAAAAGCAAGAAGAUGUACCUUGUGUAUGUGUAAGCUUAUUGAGAGGUUUUGGUAGGUUUUUUUAUCUUAUUGCUCCCAAACCAUGCUCCUUUUCUUGGGUCACUUUCUUCCCGACCAUUAAGAACUUUGGAUUUACUCCAUGGCCAUUACAUACAACAGACUUUGGUAGAUCCUGGGUUGCUGCAGAUAGACAAAAUACCUGUAGAAAGAUCAGCCCCAUUUAAGUAUGAAACUUAGGGAGCUAAAAAUAAUAUAUAAAGUAUACAGAUGACAUCAGUGGGACAGGAAAAGAAUCAAUAUUAGCCAAUAUGUAACGCCCCGGGAUUUCGUCCUCGCUCUUCCUCGCUCUCAUCCUGGUGUGUCGAGCACUCGCUCGCUAAUGUCAAUAUUCGCUAAUGUCAAUAUUGUCCCUCUUUAGUCACUGCGGAUAUCCAGCAGUAGAGGGUUUUGGAUCAGGGCCCACCUAUGUGGUUUACCCCAAAAGACCUUAACAUUAGGUAGAGUAUGGUUAAGCUCUAUAUACUACCAAUACAACCACUUCCUUGACAAUGUGGGACUAACACCAACUCAUGGGUGUUACACAAUAAUAUGCAACAACAAUUAGGCAACAAUCAGAUAAGUUAUAGAAUCAGAUAAGUUAUAGAAUCAAAUUGUGGACGUUCUCAGUUGAUGAGCAUUAAGAAAGUACCUUGUGGCAAUAUGCUCUUGCGAUCCAAUUAAAUAGAUACUUCAUGAGAAAAGCUUGCACAACAUCAUUUUUCUCCCUCUUGAUAUAUAGCAAUGGUUAAACUUAUCAGAACAACGCUUGUCGUGGUAGUACCAGUUAAGGUGCUCUGGUUCUUCUAAUAUAUCAAUGUCAGCUUCCUUAGAUGAUAUAAACUGAGAAGUUUCCCAAGCAGGCAUAAUACUCCACCACUCUUUAGAAAACUAAAACCAAGAACACAACAUGGAGUUUAAUUAUAGACUAAAGUUUGUUUUAUUUACAAUGAAUUACACACACAAAAUUGAUACCUUUCAUGGAUAAAAUGAGAUCAUAAAAUCUGCCUUGAUGUCAAGCCUUUCUUCCAGCCAGUUCCGUAUAGGCGUAUAAUUUAGGUUUUGGUCACCACUUUUUAGUAUAAAUUAGGUUUUGGAGCCGGUUUUUUUCUUUAUUGGGGUUUAGAGCUCAUUUUCGAACCAACAACUAAAAAAACCCGGUUGAACCGAAAAUAUUUUCAAAAUACCUAAGUUUACCCCUGAAACUCACGUGAUCUGCACGUUAUCACUAACCCUAAUAUAGUUUUGAUCAGGGGUAUUUUGGCCAUUAUAAACAUUUACUUGGGUCAAUUGUCGGUUCAGCUCUAAACCCUAAUAAAGAAAAAAACCGGCUCCAAAACCUAAUUUAUACUAAAAAGUGGUGACCAAAACCUAAAUCACCCCGUAUAUAAACUUAUGGAGACCUGAAUGUUAAACUAUUUGGGUACACAAGCUCCUAGUUGGAUUUACAAAGCCAUCGCACCAACAGUGUUACAUUUUCCUUUGCUGACUUGGCUAGGUAUGCUACACGGAACACAAUGGGUUUACAGCAGUACCAGUCAUCCAAGGGGUGGCAAGUGUAAAUGCUAUUGCCAUAAGUACAAUCAUUAUGAUACACCUUCCACUCCUUUGAUAAACCACCGAUAGUUUUCAGGUUGGUCAUCGCCAAAGUAAGGCUUCAUUGUCUCAUAUUCAUCUUCAGUAGUAUGAAAAGGCGGGGGAGAUCCAAAGUUAAAUAAGCACCUGCAUGUAAUGCAAGACCAACUCCAAAUGCAGUCACAAUUAUGACUCUGAGAUUUUAUAAUCAAAAUGGUCAAAAUGGAAGAGUUAUUGCCAAUAAUCAAAAUGGUAGAAUUAUGACUCCAUGAGAUUUUAGUAGAAUUAUUGCGAAUAAUCAAAAUGGUCAUGACUCCAUGAGAUUUUAUAAGGAACUUUACCCCUGCCAACCAUCCUAGUUAGUUUUAGUAGAAUUAGUUUCUCAUGCAAAUAAACAAUAUUCACAUUGCUUUGAGCAAGCAUGAUGAACCCUAAGAUAGUUGUAAAGCUUUGGUUAAGAAUCAAAAUUGUAGAAUUAUUCACAAAUAAUUUUUCCAUUAAGUACACAACAAAUUAUGGCAUUAAGAGUUGAGUCGUACGUGUUGAGAGAGAUAUCGUAAGGGGCAGAAAACUACCUCUUUUAAGUACAAUCAGAUAUGCUCCUUGAGAGUUGUAAACUUAGAAAGUAAACCCACCUUAACCGGCACCUUGGUCAAUGGAAGAAAAGAGGACAGAGAAGAAGAUGAUCAAUGUCUAGGAUCAUACUAAAAAAUAAUUUUGUUGGUUGUCAUCACAGAUUUGAGCAUGGAAUCGACAGUAUUGAUUGCAUCAUCACUAUUAGAGCUUCUUGGAUUAUGCUAAAAAAUUACUUCAAGAGAAAAAAUCUCCUAACAAUAUUAAUGGAUAUUCAUCCAUCAAUCGAAACUAAUAAAAAUAUAUUACAAAUGAAUCAUUAAAACAAUAUGAUAAACGUAACAAACCCAAUCGACACAAAUAAUCAAUUGAAUAAAGGUAGUAUCAGGAAUGACAGUCUUAAACUGAAUAAAAAAAAUUAAAUAAAAAGGCAUUCCUAAUUUUGAAUAUAUAUAUGAGAUAUGUAAAAGCUACUUAGGAAGAACCUUAGCCUUAAAUGUAAAAAGUAAAGGCUACUUAGUAAACAAACCUGGUUGAAUUGUUUUGAUCGGAUUAUGGACUCUAAACAUUCAUUCGCGAUCAGAAUUCUGUCGACGCUGACCAACAAACCCACUCUCUUCAGCUGAUAUAGCUAGGGGAGGACACUUUUAAGUAUUGACACCAACACCUUUGAUACAAUUUUGUAAAUAAUAUAAGAAUCGGGUAUUCGGGUGUUAGUAAUUAAAUUAUUAUGUGUAUGAAACAUCCCAUUUCAGCUAUUUACCUGCACGCUAAAAUUUAUGGUUCAAAAGUCCAUUUGUUUAUAAACCUUACUGCAUAGUGCAUACUUAUUUAUCAGUCACUAUGAGCCUAUAAACUACACAGUCUUCGAGUGCUUAUUGAGCCUAUAUACGUAGAAUGAGACUGUAGAGCCUAUUGGAAAAAGUACAACUAUACUACCUAUGAGCCUAUAAACUACACAGUCUUGGAGACCAACAAAAGUCAAAAACUAUCACGAUAGAACCAAUAGCCCCAUAGAAGAAAGUGAAAAUAAAGCUAUCAAACAUUAGAUUAUAAGGCAUUUAAGGUCUACUAUGUCCAAAUUAUAUUGUCAACUACUUGGUGGCUAAAAGGUCUUAAUGGUCAAUAGACAUCUUAAAUGUCGUAUCUUCUGUCAUAUAAAUACCCAAAAUCAGUCCAAAGUUGAUUUAUCUCUUCAAAGGUAGUCGUCUUAGGUUUUAUGAAGUUGUAUGCAUUAAAGCACCAAUUUUGUAUUAUCAUUAUACCUCUUGUAUACUUAUCAUUUUCGUCAAUAUCAUACAACAUGGAUAUAGAACACAAUCUAUUCUUGAAUAAACCUACCCAAUAAUUAGCCAUAAAUAUAUAUACCUUGGAUGAUUUUGUUGCGAAGGAAUUAAUAUCAUGUAGUUCAUUUCUUCUCAUGUUCCUUUCUUGAAUUUAUGUUAUUGUUGCCCAUUUCAUUCACCGUGGCUCCUGCGCACAACAAAAUAAAUAGAAAUUGAGAUUGGAAAUAAAAAAUUAUUGUUUUCUUUUGACAGAACAGGUUGUGUAAGAUUUUUCACAAGCACUGCUUCUAGAUAGAGGUAUAAAAGAGAGAAAAACAAAGAAGAAGAAAGCUACAGAGAGUAAGCUUAAAAAAAAACUCAAAUGGUUCCGUCAACCAGGCCUAAAAAGGUAUUUUCGUCAGAAUCUGGUAAGUAAAUUCUAAAGCUCGAUUCUGGUGGGUUAGGAAAUGCCCUCGAAUUUUUUGACGUUUAAUAUAGUAGAGUACAUAAAUAGAAUAGAUAGAUUGGGGUCUGUGUUCUACCUUUCUUCUUAUACAUAUUUGAGUCCACUGAGUGUUCCAUUUACCGUUCCUCCAUGAAACUAUCCCAUUUGAAGUUAAUGAUUUGAAAAGGCAUGGACAUGUCAGUCAUGAAAUUCUGAAAGAAUUCAUCUAUUGACUACAUGCAAAAAUGGAUCAUUAAGCUUGAAAUCUGUGUAAUUUUAUGAAGAAUCAAACAAAGCCAAGGUAAAGUAUGGCUUUUCUGGAAUGACUCGUACAAGAUCACUCAUAUCAGUGAGUCCAAUCAAUGCUGCAAUGUCCUCAUUGAACACAUUGGGCUUCAGAAUUGUUGUAUGGCAUCCCUAGUCUAUGCUGAGUGUCCAGUUUUACUUCGAAGACCUCUGUGGCAGGAACUCCUAGGUUUUGGCAACUCUUCUACCCUACCUUGGUUGGUAGGAGGGGAUUUCAAUGCAGUUGUAGUUUCAGAUGAAAGACUAGGUGGGAAACCAGCCAACCAGGACUCCAUGGAAGACUUCAAUGACUUUAUCAUGUCUGCAGGUUUAGUUGAUUGUGGGUACACUGGCAGCAAGUUUACAUGGUGCAACAACCAACAAGGUACCAACAGGAAGUGGGCAAGGCUAGAUAGGGUAUUGGUUAACACUACUUGGGAUUCUGAGUUCCCCCCUUUAAAAGUUGAGCAUUUGGCCAAAGUAAACUCUGACCAUCUUUCUUUGCUCCUCACUUGUCAACAUUCAGCCAACAGAAGAGGUCCACACCCCUUUAAAUUCAGGAAAAUGUGGACUAGUCAUGAGGAGUUUCUAGCCUUUGUUAAAAAAAAAUUGGAAUUUGGCUGGUUUUUCACCUCUCCCUCUUUUGUCUUUGGACAUGAAAAUUAAAAACAUCAGGUCUAGACUUAAGUGGUGGAAUAAGAAUAUUUUUGGGAACAUCCAUCAGAAGGUGAAGGACUUGGAAGACAAAGUCACCGGACUGGAACACAAACUACUAUCAGGAUGGGACCAGGCUACCUUCAUUGACCUUAAAAAACACCAGGCGUUACUCAAACAAGCUGUAAUUCAGGAAGAUCAAUUCUGGAUGGAGAAAUCUGGGGAGAGAUGGCUCAUGGAUGGUGAGAGAAACACCAAGUUUUUUCAUGCUUCUAUUGCUGUCAGAAAGAAGACACAGGUGGAGAGACUUAUGCUGACAGAUGACCCUAAUUCUUGGUGUGAUGACCUUGAAGAAAUACACCAGGCAGUAGUUACUUUUUACCAACACCAACUUUCUUCCCAAUGAUGCAAUCUUGGUGAUCCUUGCAUUGAAGUUAUCCCCACCAUGAUAUCCAACCAGGAAAAUGAUUUGCUCCUGGGGGUUCCUACAAUGGAGGAGGUCAAGGAUGCAGUUUUCAGCCUAUCAACAGACAGUGCUCCUGGCCCUGAUGGACUCACAGCUUACUUUUACCAGUCUUGUUGGAUUUAGUAAAGGAGGACACCAUUCCUAAAUCUUUUUUGGCAAAUUUCAUAUGCAUGAUUCCAAAGAUAGAUAAGCCUGUCAGACUGGUUGAUUUCAGGCCCAUCAGCUUAUGCAAUGUCUCCUACAAGAUUUUCUCUAAACUCAUUACUAGAAGAUUGACAGACAUCCUUCCUAACAUUAUUUCAGUAAAGGGCAGACUGAUUACUGAGAAUGUUAGCCUGGCUCAAGAGAUGAUGCAGUAUAUUACUCACAAAGUUACAGGAGGUAAUGUGGCUAUAAAAUUGGACAUGGAGAAAGCAUUUGAUAGGGUGGAAUGGUCUGUUAUGUUCCAAGGUUGCUAAAAGGAAACUUUAUGUCCACUAGAGGUCUGAGGCAAGGGGACCCCUAUCGCCAUCUUUUUUCAUCAUUGCUGCAGAAGUACUAAGCAGGGGUUUGACCAAGUCAUUUCUUCUUGGGGACAUUAGAUAUUUCUCAUCUCCUCGAAUGUGCAGGCCAAUCUCCCAUCUUCUAUAUACUGAUGAUGAGAAACUACAAAUAGUGCUAAUAUAACAGUUGAAUAUUCAAACAAAUCAAACAAUAUGCAGAAAGUAAAUAACACACAGAAAUUUUUAACGUGGUAAAACCCAAUAUGGGAAACGUCCACGGUUGUCCUCACGACAACAAAUAAAUCCACUAGAUGAAAAGAGAUUUACAAACCUAUCAACUACCUGCAAUCACUGCGAGUUGACACUACCGGUUAUCUCUAACACCUUGACUUCACCAGAGUACCUUGAUGUACGCACAAGACACUCGACUUCUUGAUGAACACACAAGAAGACUCGAAGCCGAACUAUGAAACAAGCUUACACCAGAGUUCCUUGAUGAACACACAAGGAUACUCGACUUCUUGAUGAACACACAAGAAGACUCGAAGCUAAAUCACUAUUCAACAAUGAAGAAGAAGAUGAAUAGGGAAGAAGAAGAUGAAAGGGGAAGAAGAAGAUGAGUUCAAUCACCAAAACAACCUAAAACAAAACCUAAACAAACUCCAAGAAUAGAUGAAUUGGACGGCCAAAGAACUAACUGAUUCUUUGGAAGAGAAACCCUAUUUAUACUUAGGGUUGGAAAACACAUAAAAUGGGCCGAAAUAGUGAAAAACCACAUUGGACGUACGUACGUCGAUAUGACGUUUGUACGUCUCAAACCGACAUAAACCUGCUGACUACUUGGACGUACGAACGUCCUAAGAAGGUACGUACGUCCAGACCAAACAAACUUUCUGCUGACAUACCAUACGUACGUACGUCCUGAAGAGGUACGUACGUCCUGAACCAAACACCAUACAUGAGACACACGACGCGAAGACAAGGACACGGGACGAUGUGCGUACAACUUGGUUUUCCUAACAAUGAACUCAAGGCGAGAUAACCAUGGACAUCCAAUGUCACAAAAUUGAUGUCAAACAAACUUCGUGCCGGUUUCAGAUGACACUAUUAUUUUCCUGAAUGGGAGGAAAAGUUCUAUAGAAGGAUGCAUGGACUUCUUGGAAGUAUACAGCUCUUGUUCGGGCCAGAAGGUUAAUGCAGCUAAGAGUUCUUUCCUUUUGUCUCCUAAAGCCACACUGGAUUGUAGACAAAUUGUUACAAACUGCACUUGGUUCACCUACAAGUCAGCACCAAUGGAAAACCUUGGUGUACCCAUCUUCCAUGGUAGAGCCAAGGCUUCAUACUUUGAAAAUCUUGUAAACAAGGUGAAAUGGACGAUUGAUGGAUGGAGAAACAAGCUGUUGACCCAAGGAGGUAAGCUUAUUCUUUUAAGCCAUGUUCUUUUUAGCAUGCCUAUAUAUCUGUUUUCUGCUUUUUCUGUCACCAAGAGGGUCAUCAGGAAUCUAGAAGCAAUGUUUGCCACUUUUAUAUGGGGGGAGUUCAAUGGAAGGAGAAAAAGGUGGGUUUUAUGGACCUCUAUCACUAAACCCAAAAAUCAAGGAGGGCUAGGUGUCAGGCCUUUGUCUCUCAUCCUAAAGGCCUUCAUAAUGAAAUCCACUUGGAAUCUAGUAACAUCUAAUUCACUAUGGGCCUGCUUCAUGAGGACAAAGUACAUCUUGGAGAGACAUCUGGUACUGCAUUGAAGAAAUUGUGGAGAUGUCCACAUGGGAGUUUGGACCUGGCAACUUCAACUUCUCACACGAGAACUGGACUAGAAAGGGAUGCCUAACACCUACUAGGGUUCCAAAUGAUUGCAUGUCCCUCAUUCUUCAGGAGGUUGCUGCCUCACAUUUCACUCAUCCUAUGAUUCCUAGAAACCUUCAGAGCUAUUUAUAGGAGAAAUACAACCUUUUACACAAUGCCUCUUCUGAAGAUAAAAGAAUUUGGCCUCUCGCUCCUACAGGGUCUUUCACCAUCAGCAACAGGGCACUCCUGUCUUUAUCUAUAGAAGAGUGUGGGGACAGUUCAUUCCUACCAGAGUUUCUAUGUUUAUAUGGAAACUGCUCCAUAGUGUUAUUCCUACUGAUAAAGCUAUCAAGAGUUGUCAUGUACCUAUGGUCUCUCAAUGCAGCUGUUGUGCUUCUCCAGCUAUACAGUCUACAAUGCACCUUUUCCUGCACAAUGAUUUGGCCAAGCCUCUAUGGUCCCACUUCAAUGGGCUUUUUGGUAUUAUUUGGCCUAGGUUCUACAACAUUAGCAUUGUGUUAUCUACCUGGUACAAUAUUGGAACAGUAGGAUCCAUGGAACAGCUCUGCACCAAUUUGAUCCCUAUGGUCAUUCUAUGGGAAAUUUGGAAGGAGAUGUGCUUUAGAAGGUUUGAUGAAGAUCAUAAGCCCAAUGACACUCAACAUAUCCACAUCAUCCUUAAGGUCAGAUCUCUCAUUUUGAGGCUCAGUGGAAUCUACAUCCCUAAACUGAGGUCAAGCUCUAGCUUUACCUUAGUAGCUAGCCAACUUGGUAUCUCACCCAAAAACCCUCAACUCUCUCCUCCUUUGGUUGUUUACUGGCUACACCCUCCCAACAAUUACAUUGCUCUUAACACUGAUGGCUCAUGUUCGGAUGAAGUAGCUGCUGGUGGAGGGGUUUUAAGGGAUAAAGAUGGCAAGCCCCUGGCCAAUUUUUUUUUCCUACUAUGGUAAUGGUACAAACAACCUAGCUGAGUCCAGGGCCAUUUUCGAGGGACUUCAGCUCUGUGCCACUAUGGGAAUCACCAAGGUUCACCUGCAAACUGAUUCUCUCUUAGCUGCUAAGUGGUUUCUCAAAGCUAUUGAGGUGCAUUGGUCACUUAAGAACUGGUGGAAUAGGAUAUACCAGAUAGCAGAAUCUUUACAGGUUCAAUGUGUUCAUGUCUACAGAGAAGGGAACUACUUGGCUGAUCAUUUAUCUAAACUUGGUGCUGCUAAUAUUAGGGUAUGAUCUUAAUUUUCUUGGCUAUUACGGAAAAUUUGAGCAGUGCUCUCCGAGCAAGUUUUGGGUUCCUUCAAAGUUUUGGCUUCUUAGCCUUCCUACCCUCAUCUUCAGACCCACUGGGACCACAAUCAUCCAUCUCCUUUGGCUGAUCUUCUCUGGCCCCUUCAUCACUGUCCACUCCAUCAUCCUCCUCAUCCACAUCUUCUUCCUCAUCAUCUCCCUCCUCCUGUUGUUCUUUUGCAUCAUUUCCCCCAACCUCAGCCCCAUCAUAGCCAGUCCCUGGAACAAUAGAAGCCUCCCUGCGAGAGUUGCAGUUAUCAAUUCCAUACCUUGCAUAAUAACACCAAGGCCUACAAAGUGCUCUCACCCACUCACCAGUCUCAGUCCUCAACUAUUCCUCCAAUUGAUUCCAAUUCUCUGCUCCUAUCUUAGAAGGUGGUUGUGGAAAGAUAGAACAAAUGAAGUCUUUUACCUCAUCAACAACUCUUUCCACAUCUUCAGCCAGCUCACUUACCCCAUUGUGGUAAUAAUCAAACCCAUCAAAAUGGAAUGGGCAGAGAGAUCUCUUCACAGCUUCAUAUACCUGGUCUUCAAUCAGCGCCGCCAUUAUGUUGUAACUAGACUCAGAAGAAGAAGGAGAAGAGGAGGAAGACAUGUUCUUAAAAAUCCUAUUGAUGGAAAAGCAGCAAGAUGGUUGUUCUUGGAACCAAGGAGGCUUUAUGCAGUUCUCCAUCCUCCCAACCACCCAUUCAAAGCCACUCAGCUUUUGGCGCGACAAUCUCUAGGAGUUGACAUUGGAGAAUGGCUUCUAGAGGACACCCUUGUUCCUGUUGGGCCCUUUAUUUUUCUAGGUCUUGUUCUGUAAGGCAUGCGCAGCCUUUUACUGUAUCCCCUACUUGUAAGAGGUUAGGCCUAAUGUCCCCCUCUAAUUUUAUUGAUUCUUAUUUAAUCAACAGGUAGGGGUCUGCCAAACCCCACCCCCAUUUCGGGGUCUUUUUUUUUUUUUUUUUUUUUUAAAAAAAAAAAAAAACAAAAAACUAUUACAACUUGAUCAGAGUUUUUUUUUUUCCUCCGUAAGAAACGAAUAUAUUGAAUGAAGCAAAAAUGAAAAAUACAAAGACCAAACUUAUGACUAUGUUAACAAGAGGUUUCCAAGCAAGCUGGCUGCCUUUAUAACACGCCAUGGUUUGGUUAAGAGGGAUUACAUCUUAAAUAAAAGGAAUGGGGGUCCUCCAACUCAUAAAGGAAUGGAGGCCGACCAACAUAUAAAACUCUCACAUCUGGUUCCAACUGCGCUGCAAAACUUGAUCAGCGUUCGUUAACUAGCACCUUCAGGUAAAGAGCUUAAAGCUACAAGCAACAAAUAGUUACAGAUUCGGUUUUAGACUCCUUACUAAGACUUUGUUACAGACUCUGUAUAACCAGCAACCUGUCAGAGCCAGUCUCAGCACGGCAGCAAACCUGCAAGAACUUUAUAGCCCUGAACAGAAGACCCUCACCAGAGUUCUUUCAUGACAAUGGGCCGCUGAAACAACAAGUCUGCAAAAGAGAUAUCCCUUCUAUACUCCAUGGUUCUUUGAUCCUAUAUUAAGCGAUGCCCAGAUAGUUCCCUUAAUGACUUCCACUGCCUUGGUUACUUUCACACAUUUUUCUUCAAGUACGCACCAUUACAGAUUCCAUACACACCAGAUACAUUCAGAAGUGCCCCAAUUGUUCAUUGCUGGCAAUGAUUUCAGCAGUUCCCUCACUGAAUUCCAGGACUGCAUAGCAGUGGGCAGUGUCAGCAAUAGUAUUGACAAAAAUCAGCGAUCUCCGUACCUCUUUUCUGAACCUGCAGUGUACAAAUAAGUGUGGUAUUGACUCAUCGCAUUUACAGAGAGCACAUUUGUUAGUCUGCAAGAAAUCCCUUCUUUGAAGCUUGUCCUGAGUAAGGACACACUCCCACAUGAGACCCUAACAAAAGAAUUUGACAUUAGUCGGGAUCUUAGUCUCCCAUACAACCAUGUAAGAAGUCAAUACGUUCAAAUUACAGGAAUUGACAGAGAACUCCUCGUUUUUCUUGUUUUUCCAUCCCAAUUCCCAGACAUCAUUCUCAUCUUUGGAAUGCAAUUCAGCAGGCAGACUAUCGAGAAGAUCUAAUUGCAUUAAGGGAUCUUCUCAAGUGGAGAUUCCAAGUAUGAUUUGCCUCAAAGUGCUCCUUAACCAAGCCAUACUUUAAGGCAUCAUACUUAUAAAUUCUGUGGCAUCCCCCUAGCCAGAGGUGUUUUGCAUAACAACACAUCAUGCCAAAACUGGGUUUUUUUCACCAUUGUGCACCACAAGCUUGAUGUUGUUAAAAAAUCCAUCUUGUGCGAUUUGUAAGUUGUAUCCCUCUCCAAAGACUAUUAUAAGCAUAAUAACAUUAUCAAUAAACAAUAACGAUCAUGAAUCAUAUAAUUAAUCACUACACAUACCUUUGUCUAUAGCCAUUGAUGAUCUUUGAAGCUGCACAAGAUUUAGGUUUCUCUCUCCUUGCCUCUUAAACCCUAAUAUGUGUUGUAAUAGUAAGUGUAUGAGGAUGGAGAUCAUACACCAAUUUAUAGAGGUGGAGAGAGGACCUAAAUCUACAAACCUAAGCCCAUUAGAUCUAGACCGUCCAUCAUAGUUAAGAUCUACGGUAGAUAUGACUUCCACAUAACCUAUUACUAAUUAGCUUAUUUCUAUAUUAAACCAAGGUUAAAGGUACAUGGACCACAUUAUGGGUUGGGCUUUAUAUGUGGAAAUUCCAACAGUCUCCCACUUGGUCCAUAGUAAAAUCUCACAUACGGUUUAAUGUACAUAAGGCACGCAAUAAGAGCUAAAUUAGUUUCCGAAAUGGUUAUCAUAAUACCGUCAUUAAUUAAACCACUAAUAUGAGUCAUGGCGGUUCCACAUCGCAUAAAUGACAUGGUUUUUUCCAUGUACUACGAUAUCAACAAUUUAAUUAACUAGGUCUAUAAGCGGAAGUAACAAUAAUGGUCCAGUAAUGUCUUCGCAAAAGACUAUUUCUGUCAACAAUUAUCCAUUCACAUACAUGUACAUAAACAAUGGAAAACAGAAAAUUCAGAACUUAAUCAAUAAUAAUGAGCUCAAAAUAAUGUCAAAUAAUAAGCACUAAGUAAUCCACAAAAUCAUUAAGUUAUGGGUUACAUUCAAAACCCAACUUGUUAACAUGAUUCUAGAAUAUCAUUAUUUCUAGUUCUUAAGUUAGUGGAUUUACUAACACGUGUACUAAUGUGUUCCAUUGACACUCACUUGUUCUAAACUUAAGCCAUAAUCGAUAGGUAUUUUAUAUCAUGUGCUAAACAAUAGAAUACCUAUCAUUCUUACAAAGGCAUAUAGUUGCAACAUUAUUACAAUAAAAUUCAAACGACUUAGAAAUUAAUAACUCUAAGACAUGAUAUAAAGUUUUGCAACUAUACAACAUUGCAUGUAGUUAUUUUACAACAUGCUACAAAUUCGGCUUCUAUGGUGGGUGAAACAAUAAUGUUUUAUCGACUAUCCACACACCCAUUAAAUUCCGAAUUUGUAAAACCAAUCACCUCAAGAUAAUUAAAUCUCUUAAAGUAUGAGCAUACGGUUUCUCUUUGAUUCGUUCUUGUUCCAAUUCAUUCAUAGGUUCUUGAUUUAAUUCAAAUAUUCCCCCUCUGAAUUGGAACAUCAUUACAAUUAUGCCUUAACACAUUAAAUCUAUCCAAAACUUUAUUAAUGAAAUCUUUCUGAGACGUUCCAACAAUUAUUGUGAUAAAUCUCGAAAUAUUUUUAUUUCUAUCACAUAUGACGCAUCACCAUAACUUUCAUUGCAAAGUGUUUAGACAGAAAAAAAUGUUUACAUAAACGAAAAUCACUGCUGCGAAACAAUAAAUCAUCAACAUACAUAAUCAAAAUAAUAAACUUACUCCCACUGAACUUUGGGUAUGUACAUUAAAGCCAAACGUUUGAUACUAUUAAUCAUUAGGUACCAUUUUCGAGAAGCUUGUUUUAAGUCUGUAUAUUGACUUCUUUAACAAAUAAAUUAUGUGUUCUUGUUCUUCCUUUAUGAAGUUGUGUGGCUAAUUAAACCAUGUAGACUUUAUCCAAAUUUUCAUUCAAAAUAUCAUUUUCACAUUUAUUUGGUGUAACUCUAAAUCGAAAUGAGUCACCAAUGCCAUAAUGAUUCUAAGAUAAUUCGUCUUUAACAUAUAAGUGAAGGUUUCACGCACGAGAAAGUAAUGCCACCAUAUUGAGUAAACUGUUUGGAUAUAAGUCUUGUUUUAUGGCAUUCAAUAGAACCUUUUGAGUCAAUUCUACUAACCCCAGACUUAGUUAAAAUCCACACUUAAUUUAUCUCUUCAUUCAUGGCAUGAAUCUUUUUAUCAGAAUUACUAUAAGUAAUGGUUUGUGAAAAUGUAACUAGAUCAUUAAAUUCAAAUUCUUGUAAAUAGAACACGUGGUCAUCCAAAGUAGCUGGUCGUGAUCUUUAAGAUCUUUUUAAUGCUACUUCUUGUGUGUGUUUACAUUCAGUUCAAUGACAUUAAUUUCAUUAAGUGGUUGAGGAUCAACUUGUUGUUUAUUGUUGUUAAGCAGUGCAACAACAUGAGGAACAACAGAAGUAACAAUAAUAUCAUUACAAAAUUGAGGUAAUAAAAUUGGUACCAUAAUUUUUUUAAUGAUUACCUCUUUGAUAUGAUCACUCCCACUUAUUUUGUCAUUCAUAACGAAUCAAUAAUUUCCAGUUUCAAUAAUUCUAGUGGCCGGUAUGGUUAGGAUAGUAAAAUCUAUACACUUUGGACUCUUUUUUUUGGAUAAACCCUAAAUGUGUAAAUGUCUUGGACUAGGUUUCCAACUUUUUCAUAGUUAAAAAAAAAAGUGUCUUUGUAACUGUCUUACUAGGAACCUAAUUCAAUAUAUACACUACAGUUCAUAAAGUAUACAUCCAAAAUGAUAUGGGUAAGUUAGAAUUACUCAUCAUGCUUCAAACCAUAUCCAUAAGAGUUUGAUUAUGCCUUUGAGCUACACUAUUCUGUCAUGGAGAACUAGACAUUGUGUAUUAGGCAUAAAUUCCUAACCGUUCUAGAAGUUUUGCAAAAGAACCGGGAUGUUGUCCCGUGUCAUCAUACGUUCCAAGAAAUUCACCACCUCUAUCGGAACAUAUAAUUUUCACCUUUCUAUCUAAUUGUCUCUUAAUUUCAGUUAUGUAAAUUUAAACAACAUUUACAUGUGAGACUUAUCAUGCAAUAGAUAGUUAUAGUAACAAGAAAAAAUCAUCAAUAAAGGUAAUGAAAUACCUUUUUCCACCAAAAGAUGGAACAUCAAAAGUCCACAUAUGUCUAUUUGAAUUAUUUCAAGAAGCUUACUUCUUAUGGCUCUUUUUAGUGUGUUUGGUUUGCUUAACUUAAUGCAAUCCACAUACACCAAAAUUAGUGAAGUCAAGAUUCGGGAAAACCCUUUCUUUUACUAGUCUAUUUUUCAUCUAGAUGUAUAAUCCAGUCUUUUAUGCCACAAGAAAGAUAAACAUUAAUCAUAAUCAAUUCACUAAGUAUUAGGAAUACCAAUUAAGUUUGAUCGAAACAUACUAAAACCAAAAGCUUACCUUUUAUAUCAAACAAACGCCAUAUUCACAUAAAUGGCAUUAACACACACAUAAUGUAUAUCCAAACACAAUUAGAGAAUUGUUCAUUCAACUCCUUGAAACAUGAAUUAAGCUUGAGUGACAUGAUUAUAAUGUUGUUUAAGUCUUGCCUAUACUUGAACUAGUAGUCUCGCCAUUUAAUUCACAUUCCACUUGUUUUUAAUAGUGUAAUAGUGAAACUAAACAUACUAUGUAGACAAGAAAUUUAGAACAAAUUGGAGGACAAAGUAAUCAUCCACUAACAUGCCUAAAUUCUUUGAUUUAACAACUAAAUUGGAAAACUCAAGGAUACAAUCAUGCAUACUAUAUAUGAGUACUAUCAAUAGUAAUCAGUUCAACAAUUAACUUUUCAGCUAGCAGUGCCAAAAUGAUUCUUAAUAUUAUUCAUCAACAAUUAUUCACAUAAACAUUGAGUUUAAUUUGCAUGUUUAAUCGAGUUCAUGCAUAAUGCAUAAUUUUCUCCAUUUUACUGUUUUUAUAAAAAAUAACAGUAGAUUCAACAAUAAGGAAACAUAUGCCAAGAUCUAGAACUCCCACUAAAAUCAACUAGACUUAUUCAUUCUAGUUCAUUACAUUAGUCUUCUUAAGGAUAAAAACAUACAAAAUAUACGAAAUAUAAGAAUAAUAGAACGUGAAGAAUAAACAUGCUCACAACAUUAGUCAACACAUUAAUUAAACAAAUAUGACUAAGAUUUUUAGUAAUACUAUAAAUGGGUGACAUAUCACAUGAUCAAAAUAAGCAUGGUAUCUGUGGAUAUCCUACACUCAUUUAAUCACAAAUACGUGCAACCCCUUAAGUUUAUCCAAUGUAACAUAUGCUUGAUCUACCUGUGGGUAGCUCAAUAAUGCAAGUGAAUAAAUAGGCAAUAAGGUACUUAGUCUGACAUUCAACACAAUAUUUAGUUCACUGUGGUGAAAACCAAAUCAUAAUAUGAAUGGUCAAGGAAGCUUUAAUAUUCAUUAAACAUAUUGGAAUCACUGCAAUGGAUACCAAUAGAAAACAUGAUAUGAAUAUAAAACAGAAAACAAUGUCAAUAAUCGUAUUUGGUUCACUGUGGUGAUACCAAAUCAUGAUGAUAUGAAUCUUAAGGGAAUAAACAUGCAGCCGAAUAAAUGCUACAAGAUCAAAAUAUCAUAAUGCAUCUUAUAAGAAGUGCACAAUCUAAUAAAUUCAACUAGGGCACAUGCAUAAUAUGGGUCUUAAAACGAAAGAAUAAUCAUAAGCAUACAAGUAUGAAUUAGGCAUAGAAGUAAAUGACAUUAUAAUAUAAACUAUUACAAAAAAAAAAAUCUAACUGUAAGUCCCAAACACAUUAACUAUGGGUUGUGACUGUAAGGCUUAUGCAAACAUUAAUUCAAAAAUCUUGUGCAAAGAGUAAUUGAAAAUACCAAACUACCAAAACACUAAUGGACAAAGCGUUAAAUCCAAAACAAAAAUUGGUUCAGUUUUACUUUAUGGUAUAUAUAUUCAUAAAAAUCAAUAUUCAUAAACAUAAUUGGUUUCACUGUGGUGAAUACCAAUAAAAACCUUAACACGAAUAUUGAAUAAGAAAAAACAAUUUUGAUAACACUUUAGUUAGAACCACUACUGUGAAUACCAAUGCGUUUCUUGUUAUAAAUAUUACCAUUAUAAUUUUGCACAAUAUUUAAUCAGUAAAAUACAUCAUCAUAAUACAAUUGGUUGGGUUUUUGUCACUAAGUGAGGCACAAAAACCCAAAGUAAUAGUAUACUAUAGGACCAAAAAUACUUAAUAUGGGUUGUAACAGUAAGGCCCAAAACCCAAAGAAUGAUAUACCAGAUUAUCAUCUCCUUUGGAAAGAUGUGUACUACGGCAAUAAUCGAAGUAGGAAAAUUACCCAAAAAAAAAAAACAUUAAACUUUAGCCAGUAAGAAUGAAUGGGGUCUUUGGAACCGGGUUACAUAAGAAUUUAACAUUCUACGGAUUAACAUUAAACUUCAGCUAGUAAAGAAAGUCCAGAUUAAUAAGGAUUAUACGUUACUUAGAAGGGGUACUACCAGACAUGCUAAUAUCAAUCAAUUUUGGGACUACAAAGCAUUAUAUUAGGCUAGUAAUAAAGCCCACAAUUGGACUUAUAUUGCAGUACACACCAAAACCAUAACCCAACAAGAUUAACAAAGUCACUAUUGGACGAAACAUGAUGUUAUAAUUAAUGAGAGUAAUCCUGCUAGCUUCAAACAGUAAUCAUAAUAAUCAUGAGUUAAUUCUAGGAGAAGCAGCUAAAACCAUAUAUUGCAUUAAACAAAACUUUGUUGAGGUUGUUUUGUCCUUAUUAUCCAACUAAUCAUGCAUCGAGAAUUCAUGCACCAUAACACCAUAUAUAUUACUUCCAACCAUUAACCAAAAAUUCAUAAGUGUUCAUAAUACCCAAAGGUCCCAUAUCAAUUAAUUAGUGAUCACGUACAGUCAAAAAUUUAUGAGUCCAAAAACAUACUAACGCUAAUCUUGAUGUAAUUUAUAACGGAAAGAAAUACUACCGUAUUUAAUCACAAGGAAUAUCAUCUUAAUCAUACGAAUCGUCAACCAUAAAAAUAAGAAUUACUGUUUUCUUUAAUGCGGAAUCAUAAUAAACAGUAUUAAAUUAAACGAGGAUGAUAGAACUAAUAACAUGAUUCAUAUUGGCGACUGAUACCAUAUAUAAGCAUAAUAACAUUAUCAAUAAACAAUAACAAUCAUGAAUCAUAUAAUUAAUCACUACACAUACCUUUGUCUAUAGUCAUUGAUGAUCUGAGAAGCUGCACAAGAUUUUGGUUUCUCUCUCAUUGCCUCUUAAACCCUAAUAUGUGUUGUAAUAGUAAGUGUAUGAGGAUGGAGAUCAUACACCAAUUUAUAGAGGUGGAGAGAGGACCUAAAUCUACAAACCUAAGCCCAUUAAAUCUAGACCGUCCAUCAUAGUUAAGAUCUACGGUAGAUAUGACUUCCACAUAACCUAUUACUAAUUAGCUUAUUUCUAUAUUAAACCAAGGUUAAAGGUACAUGGACCACAUUAUGAGUUGGGUUUUAUAUGUGGAAAUUCCAACAACUACAAUCGUAUUGUUGUUUCCUUGGAGCCUUGGAGGUCUUCCCAUUAUCGCUUGUUCUAUACUUCGCUUCUAUCACUUUCCUCCAAAGAGCAUUUUCUAUCACAAACAUCAUCCAGUUAAUACUUCUGGAAGAUGGAACAAUAUCUCUUACCUACAGUUAUAAACCUGAUGCACCACAAUCUAAUUAUUCUCAGCACAUAGAACCUGGUAGUGCUCAUUCUGCUCCCAGUGCUCAAGAACUCGAAGCUGUGAUACUUAUACUUGUGCUCAUAUCCCGGACUCAAGAUCCUCAAGCACACAAAAUUUAAAAUCUCUCUGUCAUUCUCUUAUUCCCCCAAACCUUAAAAGUGCACUAUUUUUCUCUGCAGUCUCUCGUAUUGUGUCAACAAAUACUACUCUUUGGUUAGGAAAUUUUUAUUCACCUAACUUCAAUCAAUCUAGAGGUUUCAGAAAUUUCAAUAUUGCGUAUCUACUCUAUCUUUGUAUGGUCUGCUUCACAUUACCCAAUUAUCAGAGACAAGCGGAAGUUUUUAAUGGACAUUAAUCAAUCAAGUUUUGUUAUUCUCUCCCUUUUUAAAUCCAUCUUUUUUAAUUUGUAUAAUAUAAGUUUGGGUUUUUCAAACCAAUUGAAACGAAAAUUAACUGUCUAGUUGAUUCGUGCGGAAAAAGAAUUUACUGGGAAAUAGAUUUACCAGAUGCAAAUAUUCAGGAAAUAAAGUUUUAUAAACUCACUAUAGUGUUAUAUACUUAUAUUGAUCAUGAAAAUCGUGUAAAUAUGUUUUAGCGAGUGUUCAUCAACAUUGAGCUCCAAUCUUAUCAUUCCGCUUAUUUUCCAUGUAAUCAACCAUGGGAAAUUGAGAUUUCCCAAAAAAUCUAUUUCCCGAACUCGAAUCAAACAUACCUAAUAGAAGUUUCUUAUUGGGAAUCAUAGUACACGCCUAUAUGUUGGUGGAUCCACCUCCCAGUUUGGUUUGGACUACAGACUUACUGUUUGUGCGACCUGUGACGUCGACCCUUUGUAAUAAAAGUCAUGAACCUUCUAUUCUGCCAGUGCUCCACACACACAAACACAAACACACCAAAAGGGACCUCAUUUAUUGACUUAGACAGAAUGACAUGACACCACAAAUCUCAAGAAUUUAUGUCCACUCAAACAGUCAAAAUGCUAAACUAUCAAGUAUGAAUCUUCAAAAUUGUAAAAUACCAUAAUACUGUAGUUCCUUAAUAUCUUGAAUUCUUAAAAAAAAAAAUGAAUUUAUGUCCACUCAGACAGUCAUACAUAAUUCAACUGCUGAAUUAUUUGUGUGAUUCUAAAGGUGUGCGUACAACUCGGUUUAGAAAAUUGAACUCGGUUCAGAAAGUCUUAUCUUAGAAAACUACUAAGAAGUGUUGGUGGUUUGAUGCCACUUAAAUCUUGUCCAUGCCAAUUGUGCAUGUAAGAGAAUACAGUAUGACAUCAAGAAGCCAAACAUGGUUAUUACUAUUAGUAAUCUUCUUCUUCAUUUACUCCUUUAAGUCUGGAACUCAUCUUUGCUUUGCAGUUGAUACAAUCUCUUCAGGUCAAUCUCUCACAUUAGACCAAACCCUGAUAUCUAAAGGUGGUAAGUUUGAACUUGGCUUCUUUAGACCAGGUACUUCUCUUAACUACUACAUAGGAAUUUGGUAUAAGAAUGUCUCUAUACAAACAGUUGUUUGGGUUGCAAAUAGAGAUACUCCUCUUUAUGGAGGAUUUUCACCAGAAUUGAAGCUCUUAGAAAAUGGAAGUUUAGUUCUAUUAGAUGAUUCAAAAACUGCAAUUUGGUCCACAGAGUCGACGUCAAAUGGGAAUGUUUCAGCUGAAGCAGUUCUUGGGGAUAAUGGAAAUCUUUUUUUGAGAAAGAGGGUUAUUAGAUCAACAUCUGAGGUUUUUUGGCAGAGUUUUGAUUACCCGACCGAUACAUUUUUGCCUGGUUCAAAAAUUGGAUACAAUAAAUUAACCAACAAACAAAUAUCACUUACUUGUUGGAGAAGCCCAGAUGAUCCUGCAAAAGGGUUAUAUUCAUUACAUCUAGACCCAUAUGGAGAUCAGUUUUUUAUCGAGUCACAAGGCAUUCGGUAUUGGAGUAGUGGGGCAUGGAAUGGAAAAACAUUCAGCUUAAUUCCUGAAAUGGGAUUAAAAUAUAUAUUCUAUUUUAGCUACGUUAAGAAUGAGAACGAGAGCUACUUCACUUAUGAUCUUUACAAUACUUCUAUUAUUACUAAACUUGUGUUGGAUUUGUCAGGGCAAAUUAAGCAAUUCACAUGGGCUGACAACUCCCGAACUUGGUUCUUGUUUUGGUCUCAACCAAGACAACAAUGUGAAGUUUCUGGAUUUUGUGUGUGUGAUUCCAAGUGUAGAUGUUUCGAUGGUUUCCUACCACGAUCACCAAAUGAUUGGAAUACGAGUGAUUAUUCUGGUGGAUGUAUGAGGAAAACAUAUUUUGAAUGUGGGGAUGAAGUCGGUUUUCUGCAGGAUAACCAACAAACUGCGUUUUUCAAUCAACAGUUUAACGACACUGUUAAAACAGCUGAUAAAUGCAAACAAUCUUGCUUGGAUGACUGUUCUUGCACUGCUUAUGCCUUCAACAGUUCGUGCUUACUUUGGAAAGGAGAUGUGUUUGCUUCACGGAAAUUUGGAGAUGAUGAAGCUAGAUAUAGUAUCCAGCUCAAAGUAGCGGCCUCUGAGAUCCUUACGCAAACCUCUGGUAUCUCAAGGGAAACUUCCGGAGGUGAGAAUUUUGGAACGAAUGGGGGAUAAUUAAUAUCAUAUUUUGUUGAUUAUCGUUUAACAAUUUUGGUCUACAGGUAACAAACCACUUAAUAAGCCCUACAUCAUUGUACUUAUUGCUGGAUCAAUUUUUGUUAUCAUCUUCAGUUGCUUUUUGUUUGCCUAUAAAAUGAAACAAAGAGGUAAACAGUUCAUUGAAUGAUACAUACAACUAAGUUAGUUCUUUUCCAUAAUAUGUUUCGUUUAAUUGCUUAUUAGGACUAACUAAAAAGAGGAAAAUUCAGGUAAUAAACUCAGAUAUGAAACAACAGAAACAUCACUACCAGAUUUGUCAGUAGAGAAUGAACCAGAACAAGGCAAAUUAGAACUACCAUUAUUUGAUUUCAAUACAGUUGCAACAGCUACAAACAACUUCACAAAUAAGCUUGGGCAGGGAGGGUUUGGUCCUGUUUAUAAGGUAAUACUUUUGAAGUUCUUUAACUACUCUGCCGAUAAACACACUUGUGUACAUAUAAUUUAUAAAUUAUAAUUUUUUUUAGGGAGAAAUGGAUAUAAAAAUGAUUUGCAAUUCUGUCUUUCAUUUAUUUGUUUCAGGGUAAACUGCUAGACGAACGAGAGAUUGCAGUGAAAAGAUUAUCGAGAAGCUCUGGACAAGGUGUACAAGAAUUCAAGAAUGAGCUCAUGUUGAUAUCCAAACUGCAACACAGGAACCUUGUUAGGCUUCUAGGUUACUGCAUUGGUAGAGAAGAGAAGAUUUUGUUGUACGAGUACAUGCCUAACAAAAGUUUGGACGCCUUUCUCUUUGGUAUGUCCAUAAUCUCUUUUAAAGAUAUUCCCUUUCUCUAUUCUUUUCGGCACAAGUAUACAUAAAUUACCAUUUCUCUGUCGUAUGUCCAUAAAUGAUAAAAAUGUGAGGCGUGCAAAGUAGGUUCUGCUCUUACCUUGCUGAUCGAUUACCUCACUUGGGCAAGGUGCCUUUCAGCAAUUCACCUCACCACCUUGGAGUUACUGAAUAUACUGUAAUUAGGCAUAUUAGGCAUGGUCCUUAAUUAUUACAUUACCUUUUUAAGGUACAUUUGUAAUUUUCUGCACUAGGCUAAUUAAAGUCCUUAAUGUCUGUUACCCUUUUUUGACAUUUUCUGAUGAAUAUGAAAAUCAGAUCCCACCAAACAAAUUCUGCUAGAUUGGAGCAAACGCUUCAGCAUAAUUGAUGGUAUUGCACGCGGCCUUCUAUAUCUACACCGUGAUUCUCGACUUAAGGUGAUUCAUCGAGAUUUGAAAGCCAGCAACAUUCUUUUGGACGAGAAUAUGAAUCCCAAAAUAUCGGACUUUGGUAUGGCAAGAAUUUUUGGUGGAGAGCAGACAUUGGCAAAUACCAAUAGGGUUGUCGGGACAUAGUAAGAAUUGCUUAUACUUAUUCUUGGCAUCACAUAACUAGGUUCAUAUAUGUACAACUUCACCUUUAUCUGUAUCAACCUGCAUUCCUCAUAUAUAGUCACUUAUUUUACAACUAUAUAUGUAGUGGAUACAUGUCACCUGAGUAUGCGAUGGAAGGCAUAUUUUCUGAGAAAUCUGAUGUGUUUAGCUUUGGAGUGUUGCUGCUAGAGAUUGUGAGCAGUAGGAAGAAUACCAACUUCUAUUUACUGGAAGAAUCAUACAAUCUUUUAGGAUAUGUAAGUAACACAAUUUCAAUUCUAUUUGGAACUUAGAGUUUAGUACUUCCAGAUUUCGUUAAUAUUGGUAAUAUUGUUUACCAGGUUUGGCGAAAGUGGAACGAAAAUAAGGUGCUGGAGAUAAUGGAUCCAACAUUGGCCGAGUCAUAUAAUUCACAAGAAGUGAUGAGAUGCAUCAAUAUAGGACUUCUAUGUGUGCAAGACCAUGCUGUUGAUAGGCCAACCAUGUCUGCAGUUGUUUCGAUGCUUGUCAGCGAGGGAACUCUUCCUCUUCCGAAGCAACCUGCAUUUACUAUUGAAAGGACACAAUUCUCUAAGAUUCUUUUUAAUAUCAAUGAUCCAGUAUCGAUAAAUUCUGUUACCAUCACAAAUCCUGAAGGACGAUAAGUUGAUGAUGAAGAGUACGUAUAAAACAUUCGUCGCAGCAACAAUCCUGUUAGAAGUUGAUAUGAAAUUGCCAAAUUGGGGUCUGUCUUAUACAUAUUUUACUGUUCCUCCAUGAAACUAUCAUGUUUGAAGUAAAUGAUUUGAAAAUGCAUGGACAUGUCAGUCCCUAAAUUAUGAAAGUAUUCAUCCAUUCUGCCAGUGAUCGUCAAGAAUUUGAAGCUGUGGUACAGUACUUGUGCUCAUAUUCAAGGACUCAAGAUCCUCAAGCACCACAAUUUGUACUUUGAUGCCACAAACUGGUACUCAACCUAAUUGUCAUGAGCAAAACAAUGAAAACUUGGACUGAGUGGCUUGUAUCUCUUGAUUAUUCUCCAAAUUUCCGAAUAUAGCAAUGCCUGCAUAUUUUUAUUAUCAUAAGAGUGUUGGUAUGUUUGCCGGGACUAUUUAGGGAGAAUGUACAGCUUAACCUCCAGGCAGCUGAACUGGAAUGUGUAGUUUACGGUAUUUCCUAAGGAAGCAUUUGGGCGGCAAAUAAAACAGAGCAAAAGAAGCAUCAAUAUUAAAACUAAAAUGUUUGGGUAUUAAAUGAGAAAAUUAAAUAUACCCACACUAAGCUAGUAGCAGUAGAAGUCCUUCCUCAAACCUUCAUGAUCAAUCUGAGCAUUUGGCCACAACUUGUAAACCUUGUGUACCACAAUCUAAAGAAAGGCAUGGUUAAUAAUUAUAAUAAUAAUAUGUUUUUUUUUUUUUUUUGGGUGAAAAAAAUACAAAUAGUUUGUCCAUUUCUUGAUCUUCCAUCCCCUUCAACUAUGUACGUAUACCUCUUCUUUUCCAUAGUAGUAGCGUGCACUUUUUUUUUUUUUUUGGUUGGAGUAUGUAGUUCUUUUAAUUCAUAUGCACUUUUUAGGUGAAAAUAAUGGUGGGUGGUGGUGGUGGUGGCAGUGAACGGUGGUGGUGGUGCUACAGACUACAGAACAGACUACUCAAAAAAUCUGUACAGAAAAUGAGGACUCAUGGUACAUGGCACCCAUUUUUAAGGUUAAAUUUUGAAUUCAUCUUACAUUUUUUUAUUAUAAUUAUGAUGAUUUUUACUUUUUAGUAUAUGGUUUAUUGAAUUCAUCUUUGUUCAACAUCCUCUUUUUUUUUUUUUUUUUUUUUAUUUAUUGUUCGAAGUGGUGAGCUGGUGGUCAUGACAUGCUUGGUCGUCCAUGGUAGCGACUACAUUUAUUUCAAAAAUAAUUUUCAAAAGUUGUAUAAUUUGAAUCAGGAAUUAAUACAUUUUAUUUAUAUGUAAAAUGAUUCAAUAAAAUUUUUAGGGAAAAAAUGAGUGUUCUAAAAAACUAAUAGCCACAUACAUGACCAUAUUGUUCUACAAAGACAGAGACUUUUUACUUCCAAAAGUCUACAAACGUUUAGAAAAUGAAUUUGUCCUUUGAUCAGUUGUAGAAUAGUCUUCAUCUGGUUGUUUUGUAUCUGCAUUAUGCAAUAAUAAUGAGGACUUUCUCCAUCUCCUGAGGUAAGAGAAGAGAUGAAAUCAAGAAGCAGAAGAACAACACACUUGUUACUUUUAUUACUUACCUUGUUGUUCUUCUUCUACUACUACUCUAACUCUCCAAGUCAUCUCUGCUUUGCUGCUGAUACAAUCUCUUCAGGUCAAUCUCUCACUUUUAGUCAAACUUUGAUAUCUAAAGGUGGUAAGUUUGAGCUUGGCUUCUUUACACCAGGUACUUCUCUUAACUACUACAUAGGAAUUUGGUAUAAGAAUGUCUCUAUACAAACAGUUGUUUGGGUUGCAAAUAGAGAUACUCCUCUUAUUGAUUCAGUUUCCUUAGAAUUUAAGCUCUUAGAAAAUGGUAAUUUAGUUCUUUUAAACCAGUCAAAACUCGCAAUUUGGUCCACUGAGUCGAAAUCAAAUGUGAAUGUUUCAUAUGAAGGAGUGCUUGGGGAUGAUGGAAAUUUUGUUUUAAGAACUGGGGUUAGACCAUCUGAUGUUUUUUGGCAGAGUUUUGAUUACCCGACUGAUACAUUUUUGCCAGGUGCAAAAAUUGGAUAUAAUAGAAUAACCAACAAACAACUGUCACUUACUUCUUGGAAAAAUUCAAAUGAUCCUGCAAGGGGAUUAUAUUCACUGGAGCUCGACCGGUCUGUAGAUCAGUACUUUAUCCAAUCGAAACUGAAUCGGUAUUGGAAUAGUGGGGAAUGGAAUGGACAAACUUUCAGCUUAGUUCCUGAAAUGAGAUUAAAUUUCAUUUUCAACUUUAGCUACUUUAAGAACGAGAACGAGAGCUACUUCACUUAUAGUCUUUAUAAUACUUCUAUUAUUUCUAGACUUGUGUUGGAUUUGUCAGGGCAAAUCAAGCAAUUCACAUGGGCUGAGGGCACCCAAGCGUGGUUCUUGUUUUGGUCUCAACCAAGACAACAUUGUGAUGUUUACAGAUAUUGUGGUUCAUUUGGUGUAUGCAAUAAGACGGACUUACCUUUCUGUACAUGUUUAGAAGGCUUCGUACCACGAUCACCAAAGGAUUGGUAUAUGAGUGAUUUUUCUGGUGGAUGUGUGAGGAGAAUAUUUUUCCCAUGUGGGAAUGAAAGCGGGUUUCUACAAAUGCAACUAGUAAAAUGGCCUGACAAUCAACGAUCUUUUGAUGUUCCAACAACUGCUGAACAUUGCAAGCAAUCUUGCUUGAAUGACUGUUCUUGCAGUGCCUUUGCUUUUAACAUUUCAAAUAUAUGUUUACUCUGGAAUGGAGAUUUGUUUAAUCAACAGCAAUUCCAAGAUGGUGAUGGUGGAGUAGAACUUAGUAUCCAGCUUAGACUUGCGGCGUCUGAAAUACAAAGUUUGGGAGGUGAGAUUGAAGGAUUGAAUGUGGAGUUCUUCCAAUUUUACUUUCGCACGAUAGAUUUAAGAGCGUCCACUAGCUGUUUUACCAAAUAUUAAAUCAAAUCAUAUCAAUUAUUUUUAUCUAAAAAUAAUCUUCAACACGUGCUGAACCGUUCGAUUUCAAGCACAAGCAUUGCAUCAUAUUCAUAGCUAUAUGUAUAUGCAUGAUUAUAUAGUCAUUUUCUGAUAGAGGCCUGACCAUUUUGUUUACGAUUUUUGUCCACAGGUAAAAAACCACUUAAGGCCUACGUCAUUGUACUCAUAGCUGGAUCGAUUUUUAUUAGCAUCUUGGUUUGCUUUUUGUUUGUAUAUAAAAUAAAACAAAGAGGUACACUGCUAGUUGUGUUCAAUAAUUUAUAUAUGUUCUACAUUAUGUUUUAUUACCAUUAGUUAAGAUAAUCUGGAAAGGAAAUUUCAGGUAAAAUCAAAUAUGGAGAAACUUCACUAGCAGAUAUGUCAAUAAAUCAUGCAACAGAACGAGGCAAGUUAGAACUACCAGCUUUCGACUUCAAUACAGUUGCACAAGCUACAAACAACUUCUCAAAUAAGCUUGGGCAAGGAGGAUUUGGCUCUGUUUAUAAGGUAAUACUAUUAAAGUUCCUACAAUAUCUUGAGUUAUGAACUUAAAAAAAAUUAUCAUCCAAUGCAUGAUAAUAACUAUUGUCGCCACAUUACUUAGUUGGACAACUUAGUCUGCGAAUCUAGUCAACAAUUUAUAAAGAGCUCUGUAAAGAAGUUGUGGUCAAGUUAUUAAGAAUAAACUUGAGAAACAUGGACACACAACUUCCACCUUCCAUAAGUAAGUACGUAAGGUUGCAUCAUGUAUAUGAGAGAGAAUUACUUAUACGCAUUAUUCAUUAAACAAAGAACAGAAGAAGAGGUAGAGAAUGUAACCCUUCUCAAGUUCUUCACUGCGUUUAGUGGCUGUAAAUUUUGAAGAACUCUGCAUUCAAUUUGUUAUCUGUACCCUGUAUAAUUUUCAGGGUAAGCUGCUAGAUGGACGAGAGAUUGCAGUGAAAAGAUUAUCAACAAGCUCUGUACAAGGUGUACAAGAAUUUAAAAAUGAGCUAGUGUUGAUAUCCAAACUGCAACACAGGAACCUUGUUAGGCUUCUAGGAUACUGCAUUGGUAGAAAAGAGAAGAUGUUAUUGUACGAGUACAUGCCUAACAAAAGUUUGGAUGUGUUUCUCUUUGGUAAGUCUAUGUUCAGAUUUAUGUUUUGUCUAUUUUCUAGAUAACUUCAUUUUGUUGAGACGUUUUAAUAAAUCUAGUGGAUGUAUUCCCCACCCAGAGAAUGAGUAUAAACCUAAUAAAUAUGUGAGGAGCGCGCAUUCACUCACCGAUUAUUUCCCCACCUAGCCACCCUUCGCAGAGGUGUCAAUAUAUAUAAGGCCUUAGUGCUGUGUAAGUUGUGCUCCUACCUCUUCACUAUGAAUGGCAUCCUAGUUGUUGUGCCUUUCAACUCCCCUUGGUGGUCGAUUAACUCUCUUAAGCUUAUUUAUGUAUUGCACUAAUUACCAGACCAUGUAAGGUACACUUUUGUGGCACUGGCUUGAAGUCCUUACAUAAUCGUUUUGACAUGCUCUGACUAGUAUGAAAAUCAGAUCCAACCAGACAAAUUCUGCUAGGCUGGGAGAAACGCUUCAACAUUAUUAUUGAUGGUAUUGCACGCGGCCUUAUGUAUCUACACCGUGAUUCUCGACUUAAGGUGAUUCAUCGAGAUUUGAAGGCCAGUAACAUUCUCUUGGACGAGGAUAUGAACCCUAAAAUAUCAGACUUUGGCAUGGCAAGGAUUUUUGGAGGGAAGCAGACAUUGGCAAAUACUAAUAGGAUUGUGGGGACAUAGUAAGUGUUGUUUACUAAUGAGUACUGAUUAUAAAUUUUUUGGCAUUGAGUAGGUUCAUGUAUAUUCUUCUAGUCAUUCCAUAAAUACCAUUUCUCAUUUUCUAGCUUGUAGUAACCUGCAUUCCUCAGAGCCUAAAUUAAUUUCAUGAUCAUAUAUAUAUAUGUAGUGGAUACAUGUCACCUGAGUAUGCCAUGGAAGGAAUAUUUUCGGAGAAAUCUGAUGUGUUUAGCUUUGGAGUGUUGCUAUUAGAGAUUGUGAGCGGCAGGAAGAAUAGAAAGUUCUAUUUCCUUGACGAAUCCUAUAAUCUUCUAGGCUAUGUAAGUACAUAUAACUUUCAGUAGUACAGUACAUUGAAAUUACAAUUUACAAAUAGAAAUUUGUUUUAAUAUUGGCAAUUUGAUUUUGUUCAAGGUAUGGCAAAAGUGGAACGAAAAUAAGGUGCUGGAGUUAAUGGAUCCAACUGUGGCCGAGUCAUAUAAUCCCCAGGAAUUCGUGAGAUGCAUCCAUAUAGGGCUUCUCUGUGUGCAAGAGAAUGCCCAUGAUAGGCCAAUCAUGUCUACAAUAGUUUUCAUGCUUGGUAGUGAGGGAACACUUCCUCUUCCUAAGCGACCUGCAUUUACAAUAGAAAGGGAACAAAUUUCUGACAACAUUUUUAAUAUCAAUGAUGCAAUAUCUACAAAUUCGGUUACUAUCACAAAUCCACAAGGACGAUAACAUAGUGGUGAUGAAGAGUGAAGAGCAUAAAACACUCGUUAUAACAACUAGCCUGUUGCCUGUUGGUGUCUUACUUAUACAUUAUUUGUCAUUUUUCUUCAUCUAUAUAUUUGAGUUCGAUCACUAGCUGAUUUUGAUGUCAGAAACUGGUAGCACAGGAAUAUAAAGAUUGCAUCUUACUUGUACAUUUCUUAUUUCUCUUAGAGCAGACAGUGAGCUUUCUCUCUGUUAUUCUUUGUUCUCUUGUACCGAAUUUGCAACAGAAACUUGCGAAUGAGCAUGUGGCUCAAUGGUAGCACCCCUCCUCACAAAGUGGAGAGGUCGUGGGUUCGAAGCACGUCAACGGCGGAUUGUUGAUAUAAGGUUCCACACGUAAUUUAAAAGGGUCCCUCAACCUCGCUUGCCAACAAAAAAAAAAAAAAAAAAAAAAAAAACAAAACAGAAACUUAUUCAUUCUUUCUUUUUUUCUAUUUUUGCUGUUGUAGCCAAGGUCAGGGAUACUAGAUUACUAGUAGUGUAUGCAUAGUACAAAAUAUCGUUAUCGACUAAUGUAUCGAUCUCCAAAAAAUAGAUAUAUCGGGAUAUAUUGGAAUCUAUCGGUGGAUAUUUUACAUGGAAUGUAUCGACUAAUAUAUCAAUUUGUUAUACAAAAUAUAUUUAAAAUCAAAUUUGGAAGUAUAUUUUCAUAGUAUUUACCUAAAAAACAUCAUAUCUACUAAAAAUAGAAUAAACAAAUUAUUUCCAAAAAAAAAAAUUUGAAAAAAAAUAAUAUUUCCAGAAAAUUUCGGAAAAUAUCAGUAAAUAUCGGAAUAUAUCGAAAAAUAUCGGCCGAUAUUUUACAGAUACUUUAAGGCGAAAAUUUCGGGAAUAUAUCGUAUCGUUUUCUUUGAAAACCGAUAAAUAUCGCGAUAUAUCGUGAUAUAUCGCGAUAUUUUGUACUAUGAGUGUAUGUAUACAAAUGGAAAGAAAAACAGGCUACAUGACCUGCAGAAGCUCAUCUUCCACAUGGCAAUAGUAAAGCCCAAUACUCUUGAAUCUUGAUUGAGUAUUUGAGUUGGGUUGGCCCAUGGGCUAUUCAGAAAAUCUACUUGCCACGUGGCUUAAAACUGCUUUCACUUGCAUCUCUCUAGUCUACUUCUGUUGCAAACUUGACUGAGAAAGUUUUGAGUUCUGUAAUCUGUAAUCUGUAAUCUGUUUGCAAGCAACUCUCUCUCUCUCUGUGUCUCGUUAUGGCCCAUCGCCAAAUGGUUAAGAUAUAUUUCAGGUUAAUUGUUAUUCAUAUUAUAAUAUUGCUUAGAUAACAUAUUAUUAAUAUUUUUUUUAUUAUUUUGGGAUUUUUUUUUUUUAGAAUUUUUUUAACAAUUGGAUUCAUGAUUUUGUAGCAUUGCAGGUCAUAAUUUUUCUUCUGCAAACUUAGAGAAUAGGGUUCAUUGACUUCCAUUCACUGCACUGGAGUGGUGGUUAAGUUUUAUGCAUUAUUUGCAAUUAAGGACACAAACCAUUUAACCAUUUCAUUUGAAUAUAUGUAAUAAUAUCUAUGAAUUAAACCCUUUUGUUUCAACAUUUAGGUUUCCCACCUUAUAAGAGUAGCAUAUACUAUAACUAUAAUUUGAUUUUCUUGUUAUCCUUCUAGAUUUGAAUUUUUUGCUCCACAUUGUAUCCUUAAUACUUCAAACUAAAGCUGUUAUGUUUACACUCUUGUCUUGCCGCCCAAAACUAUAUAUUGUAUCGAUUAAUAGGACUUUAUUAAUUAGAUUAUUAUUGCGUAGUCCUUGAACAAAAUUUAACCAAAGACGGAGAUAGGUAGUAUAUUGUUUUUUCUUUCCCUUGAUCCUUUUUAGACACCUUAUAUAUCAUAUAUAUACUCACUUUCUAGCCAAGGCAAUUUCUAAUUUUCUAUGGAGAUAUUUUGUUUUUUUGUGAAUUUUUCCUUAAACACCUUUUCACAGUUUUCAUGUCCGACAUAUGCUGAGGCAUUUUAGAUUAUUAGUAGAAUUUUGAAGGACCUAGUUUCACCAUUUUGUAUUACGUGGUGCAAUAUAGUUUUCUUUUUCUUGUGUAAUUGUUUGUAGGAAUUCAUCAUGGGUCGUAAAAUAGUACAUCAAUUUAUUGUUUCCUACAGAUCUAGUGGACAUCGCACAUAUAAAUGAAUUUUCGCUUUGCAGAUAAUUUUGUUUGAAAUUCAAAGUAUAACACUUUAGCAUAUGACAGUUUGAUCGACUGUAGAAUGUAUCGUGUUCGUAAUAAUGGUUAGAAUUCGAUGUACCUGUGACUUGGACAACAUACCUCAUAUUAGUAAUCUAAGCAACUCAGUUAAUGUCUACUAGUUCAGACAACUUUCACAUAAAUCCUCUUUAAGUUGUAAUUUUUUAUUUUGAACUGCAGGGGAUUGUAUAUCAGUGUUUUUGUACGUGAGGUGGUGUGGUACUGUGGUCUUCUUUAUUUCAGAGUUUUCAGAGUACCACUAUUCUGGAUGUACGAGUUACUGUAGGAAACCUCACUAUGUGGAUGGGCAUUUUUGCUUCAACCCCAUUUGGUCUUAAUGGCCCCAGUCUACCAGCAACUGUAAGCCUGCUUAUCAAUUUCACACCUUUUUCAUUAACUACAGUAUACAGUAUACACUACCACUUCUUUGAUAAGAAAUUGAAAAGAGAUCAUUUGCUGGAUUAAUUUUAUCUAAUGGAAGUCCUAGUACAAGCCUUCUGAUGGCCAGAUUUGCAUCCCCUGCAUGUGCACAAAACAGUUUUAUAGUGAUCCACAUCUCAGUGCUGCUUAUAUACUUGAAAUUGAUGGGAAACACCUACAGAUUUUUUACGUAAGUCAUUUAUGGGAUUCUUAGAUAUUUUUCUAAAAUAUUCCUUGAGAUUUGAAACACUUUCAUAUACACCCGUGAGUUGGUUAGGCUCGUAGAUUCUGUCAAUACUUUUUCAUCCACUUAUCCUUAGGACAUAAUUCGUAGAAAAAAACUGGCACCAAAUUUAUUUUAUAUCUUUAGACAAAAAACACUAAGGAGCUCACCUAUGAAGUGAAACACCAAUCUAAAAGACAAGCUUUUAUGGCAUUCUCAAGGACAUUUAAUAUGUCCAUUUUUAGCUUUCUUAGACAAUAAACUGUCUUUAGAGGGGUACUUAGUGCCUCUAUAAAGAGGUACCUUCCUAGCACUUCUCCCAUUAUAAUACGCAACCUUGCAAAGGCAUGAAAAGUUCUUGUGGAGUUGUGGAGACCAAACUUUAAAAUGCCGAAUCCGGGCGAAAUUUCGAGGCCUAGAAAACCGGCAUAUGCCUCGAAAUUUCGAUGGCCUGUGUCGGAAUGGUGAGGAUUUUAAAUCCGACAUUUCGUGGUAUUUGUCGGAAUUUCGAGAAUAUCCGAGAAUAAGGGCCGCCUGAGUAGCAGGUGUUCUCGGUCGAGCCACUCUAUGGCAGACGGGGCUGACGAAGUUUGACUUUGGCGAGGGGUUUGUUUAGGGGGCUAUGCCCGCACAUGAACUACAGUAGUUUUUGGAUAGGCUUCUAGCCGUUACCCGUGCUGAUUGUUCUCAUCCCGAGAAUAUUUAAUUAACUUAAAAACCAAUAUAAUUAACAUAAAUAAUUGGAUACAAUGGUCCAAGUUUAAGAUAAUAAUAUAAUUAAAGUUAGGCAAGAAGGAAGGGUAUAUUUGAAAAUAUGCCAUCAUCUUCUCCAACAAAACCGACGAAAACUUCAAUCUCUUCGUCUUUCAUUCGUCUUUCAUUCUCUGCUUGUCCUCUUUCAACAAAGAUAUCUUACAUCUAAAGUUUAGAUAUAAACUUUGGGGAACUAAACUACGGAUAUCGAUAAAAGGCCAUUAAUAUUGAAUCACAAAAUGAAGAUGAAUCUUUGGGGAUAUUCUUUUCCUAACCAUUGGAUCCGAAACGGCCAUUAAUAUUGAAUCACAAAUUGAAGAUGAAUCUUUAGAAAAAUUCUUCUCCUAACUAUUGAAUCUGAAAUAAUUCGUUGAAUUCGUACAAAAUCCGACGUAUUUAUUCGAAAAUUCGGGUCGGCAUGGGUAGGAUUCUGGAUCGAAGCAGAUUCGACCUGCCGAUCCGAUCCGAAUGCUAGAAAACCGGCAUAUUCCGACGAAAUUUCACGGAUCUUCUCGGCAUUUUGAACUAUGGUGGAGACCACUUAAGCAUACAGAUUAUCAUAACAAGCUUAAUUCUUUAAUAGAUGAUUUGGUUAUGGUUAGCAAUAGUUCACACUUCACACUCCUGAGUGACUCAAUCUGAUACAUAUGACAUCAAGUCAUUAUUUACUCUUAUUCUCUUGUUUUUAGUAGGGAGGUAGCUGCUUAUGGGUAACGAUCAGCAGCUUUUUGUAUGAUCUUAACACUCGUGUAAUGCUUGACACGAAGGUAGUUGCCGUCAAGAAAUUGUGAGACAGAUUUCGGUGCUGCCUUGUCACUUUUCUGUUAAGUUCCAGUAUCAUUUUAAGGAUUCUACCGCAGCUUGUAGCCAUAUAAACACUCUGUCAGGGUAUUCAGAACGUGGUGCACAUGCAUGGGACCAACGCAAUUGUUCACUCCCCAUACUUGGACAUUCUUUAGGUUAAAAUUCGAUUCAGCAGAGAGAUCAACAAUGAUUCUGCCUUUAUUGCAUUCAUCUGCUCACUUUUAUGACCAGUUUUAUAACCCUCCAAUUAAUUGUUUUCCCAUCUAAAAGGAAAUUUGAAUCAACUGUAAUAUUCAGGUGGUAGACUUGGAUCCUCGCCAUUUGUCUUAUUCAUAGUUUCAUACGUUACCUUUUUGUUCAAAAUUGUGUGCAAUGUUUGUAAUCUCUAAAACGGGACUCUGAUUAUGCUUGGAAAAAUGUUUCUCUUCAUUAUUUGUCGACGAUCCUUUGUAAAUAAUGACCACAUGUUAGUACAUCACACUUAUUAAGGUUGCGAAUAAUCCUUUUUUUUCUUUUGGUGAAGAGGUUGUGAAUAAUCUAGAAUAUUCCAUCCAAUGUUAAUCAUUGAAUACAAAUCUGGAAAAUGAAUAAUAAAUCAGCUGUUGUAAACUUGUAAUUGUGUCAAAAACUCAGAAACUCCUUAUAUUGUGAUGGAAUCAUACAGUGAUCCUGUCAGGCAGGAAAUGAACUGUAAGUAUGUAGAGACAUGAAUUCCUGGUCGGCUGACAGGUAGUUCCACUUGAAGUAAUGCGAUCAGGAGGUCUAGUGUUGCAACCAGCUGAUCAGUUUCUAUUAGUGCCUCUGCAUCCAAAUUUUCCUCUGCAUUUCCCUAAUCAAUAACUCAAGAGGCUGCUAUGUUAAAAAAUAUAAUUCAAUAGGCUGUAUUCAAAUAAUUAUUGGGCUUUUUUUUGUGAGUUGGUGUACAAAAUUUUAUUAUGUUCAAGUUUAAAAUUCACACAAGUGGUAGACACUAAUGAUGAUUUGAUUUUUUUUUUUAAUAAAAAAAAAGUCAAAUCAUCAAUGUUUAGUGGGAAUGUGAAGAUUGUUUUCUCACAAUAACCCAUUGACCAAAAAUAUAAAAAAAAAUCAUAAUUCUUUAUUCUAAUGGGGAAAAAAAAAAAAAACCUAGACAUGAUGAAGUUUUCCGUAUAUGGGAUACAUACAUAUUUUAUAAUCACACCCACAUUUACCCAACCCCUGCCCAGGUUGCAGAACAACAUGGUUUGCACAAGGGCAAAAAACAAGAAAUCAUUUUGCUGCAAAUUCACUGGAUAUAUACAACGCUUUUAAUUGCAGACACCUAGGUUCAAGUCUAUCUACAGCUGUAUGGGAUUUUGAGUGUAUGACUAUGCAACAAUCUUGCUUCUUAAUAUUCUAAUGGUUGGACAACGCCAUGAAAUGCUCAGUAUUCACAAAAGUAUAGGUAAGUGCUUAUUAUAUAAAACAAAGAUUUCCAAUUGAUUGGAUCAGAGAGUUUGCUUGCACAUAUUUUCAUGAACCAUUCUUCUCAUAAAAAUUCAUUAACUAAUAAGCUUUGAACUGGCACUAUCCUUUUCAGUUAUAACUUAAUAAUAAAAUAGUUACACAAAUAGAUUAGUAAUAAAGUAAUAAAACAGUUAUAUUGGGAUCAGCACACACGAUCACCAUCAAUCAAAUGGUUCAUUGGUCAGCUCAGUACUCGGUCCACCGGAAUGUGAUAUGCUGGAAAUGCUAAUAAAAAGUUCCCAUUGCCAUGCUAAGUAAAAUUGUUUAAUUUUACUAUUUAACAUUGCUGUUUACAGCCUACAGCAAUCAAGUUUCACCCAAUUGAGGCUUGAGAACUUCUUGGCUAACUCAUACAAAAUCCUUUUAUUCAUUACUGUUAUCUGAUCAAAGUCUUCCAUCAUAUGUUAACAGGUUUACUGGUUAUCACUGAGGAGUUACAGUCAAUGAAAAGGGCUGCUGUUAAGGUGUCUGCUAAACUUCCAGGUAUAUAUGCAAUAACAAUCAAUAAUGGCUGAUGUUUUAAAUGUUUAACAACUCUUUAUCUACAAGUGAUCCAUGCAUUAUUUCUAGAUGCUAGUAUUAUCCAGGAAUUUGACAGUAAAUAUAAUAUUCACCAAACUAAGUAGAAAGGUGAAAGCAUACUACAUCCAUUGAGUUAAGAGAAAAAGAGGACACAGCUCGUUAUAUCUAUCCUUCAUUGUUUAUAUUAUGCUCAGAGCUGGGGUAGAUUAUUCGAUUUUGAAGUGUAUUAGUUGAAAGAGAAUAGUCAACUCAGCACACCUAAAAACGAAAUAAAGAAAUGGCUGUGUUUGGUUCACCAGAAUCAGGAUUCCAAGGAAACAGCCACUUUCCAUGUUAAUGAGUUGUUAAAAUAUAGAGAAAUUUUAGAUGAGGGUCCAACAUGUUAGUCCUAUUCAUUUUCAUUCUCUCUCAGAGAGAAUUAUUUUUAGGAAAAUCAGUCAUUUUACUUGCUUGAACAGCUAAUGAUGCAUUGCAUGACCUCAUUAAUCUUCAAGGUAUAAGUUAACAUGAUACAUAACUUCACCAUUUUUCUCUGACUGCAUUUUGAAGCUCUCUAAGGUCCCAAGUAUGGCUCAGUUGGUUGGUACGGAUGAAAUAGAGUCAUUAAGAAUUGAGCUAGCAGAGAUUGGAAGAGGCCUGAGGUUAUCGUUUCAACACCGUACCUCGAGUUUCAGAAGCACUUCGACUGCAGACUCAGUGAGGGAUGAUAGCGAUGAUGAAAGUACCUUGCAGUGGGAAGCGAUCGAAAGAUUGCCGACUUUUGAGAAAUUAAGAUCAUCUCUUGUAGAUAGCUGUGAUGUUGGAAAUGAUGUGCAAGCUAAGGGGAAGAGGGUCACUGAUGUUACGAGGCUUAGACCUCUCGAGCGACAGCUAUUCAUCGAGAAACUCAUUAAGCACAUUGAGAAAGAUAAUCUCCGUCUAUUGCAGAAUCUUCGAGGAAGAGUAGACAAGUAAGGACUUUAUUGCACACAUUAUACAUAAUACACCUUCACAAAUACAUUCAACUGUGAGGCACACUCAACAUAUAUAGUCUUUUCUUUUCUACAAAAGUGUGUGAGGCUACCGUGCUGUUUCCCAUAAAUUUUUAUUAGGAAUUUCUGUUAUUGUUGAGAAUCUAACUCAUAAGUAAUUUGAUCACUAACUUCUGCUAUUUUUCUGUGACAUAUUACUUUAGUUUACAACCAAGUGGGUGUUAUAUGUGUAGAUGAGCUUGUAUAUUAUUCUUGUUCAUGUCUUCACAUGCACACACACAGACACAAACUAAAGAAAGAAAGAAAAGAAAAAGUGUGGAAAGUACUAAUACAACGGGAGGUAUUAAACAGACUAACAACAUUAAAAAAAAAAAAUCCACAAUAAUAUGUAAUCUAAUUGGUGUUCUGUACUUCUGCUCUGUCCAAGGAGUCUCACUCAUAGUACAAAAUAUCGCGAUAUAUCACGAUAUAUCGCGAUAUUUAUCGGUUUUCAAAGAAAACGAUACGAUAUAUUCCCGAAAUUUCUGCCUUAAAGUAUCUGUAAAAUAUCGGCCGAUAUUUUCGAUAUUUUCCGAUAUUUACUAAUAUUAUCCGAAAUUUUCUGGAAAUAUUAUUUUUUUUCAAAUUUUUUUUUUUGGAAAUAAUUUGUUUAUUCUAUUUUUAGUAGAUAUGAUGUUUUUUAGGUAAAUACUAUGAAAAUAUACUUUCAAAUUUGAUUUUAAAUAUAUUUUGUAUAACAAAUUGAUAUAUUAGUCGAUACAUUCCAUGUAAAAUAUCCACCGAUAGAUUCCAAUAUAUCCCGAUAUAUCUAUUUUUUGGAGAUCGAUACAUUAGUCGAUAACGAUAUUUUGUACUAUGGUCUCACUCAUUAGUAUUGGGAAUGAACUAUGAAGUACUCACUCAUGACUGACCCCAUUAACUGUUCCAUGCGGCUGAAAAUUUUGCUCUUGUUUCAUUAUUGAGAUUUAUCUUGAGUUGUACUUUCACUUAAUGCUAUCUUAAUAAUUUUGCUUACCGUAUCCACACCAAGUUUGGGUUUGCCAUAUUAUAGGCCUUUGAACUGCGUGAGAGGCUCCUCGGUUUCCUGUUAUUGAUCAGCUUUGCACUACCGAAGUUACCUCAAUGCACUUACCUUUAAUUUAACUCCUACUGGGCUAUUCCAGUAUCUGGUCAGAUCCAUGAAUUUGAUUGCCCGUUAGCGAUGAGUGUGUUUCAGGGUAUUCAGAACACCAGUGAUAGGAGAUGGAAUAGGCUUAACUUUAUUUUUUCUAAGAAGGGUGCAUGGUGGGAUAAAACCGCAUUCAUGUCUUACAAAAUCUGAAGUACAUAGAAGUGAAGAGAAAUAACACCUUUUCUUUACGAAUUCUUACCACAAAGUGCAUUACUCAUGGACCAGAGAUCAUCCAAUGGCUUACAACGAUUUCACCUUUCAGAUUGAUCUUUUGGUGGGAUGUGAAAAAACAUUGUUUUAUGUUUAUGCUCUGUACGCUUUGUUCUUUUAGGGAGGUCUAUCCUUUUACGAUAGAUUAAGGUAUUCUCAGCAGCAUACAUUCCAUUAGUUUUGUAGCUAUUAGGGAUCCAUUUACUGGUUAGUCUUGCUUGUGUAACAUCUACCGUGUGUAAAAAGAGAUCCCCAAUUUGAAUGUAUGUGAUUGGAUAAUAAAAGGUUUUCUCAUCAGCAUAUGCUUCUGUUAAUUUGCUGCCAUUACAUGCACCGGGGCUACUGGUUAGCCAGGUUGCGGCAAUUUGUUAUGUUAAGCUUCUAAUUACAACUUAUUUUGCAGAGUUGGUCUAAAAUUACCCACUGUGGAUGUGCGAUAUAAGAAUCUUUGUGUUGAAGCUGAGUGUGAGGUAGUUCACGGAAAGCCGCUCCCGACUUUAUGGAACUCCCUCAAAAGCAUUCUAUCUGUAAGAUCCUGUGCUAUACUGCUUUACUUUCAACAUGCUUGUCCCAAUUCUGUGCUUUACAAAUAGAGAUUUUUGGACCAAGGUCACCACUUUUUGGGGGUAUAUUUGUUCAGCACCACUAUUUUUUUAUUUUUAUUUGAGUUUAGUCACCAUUCCGUCUCAACCACGUUAGUUGACUUAGUCAACUGUACGUUGACGUAGUCAAUAGUACAUAGACCGUAUUAAAAUUAUUUUUUAAUAAUUAAAAAAACUCAUCUAUAGCUACUGUUGCUCAAAAAAAGAAUCUUGUAUCUUCUUCUUCACCAAAUGACAAGCUUCCAAAUGUUCGUGAUCUUCUUGUUCUUAGUAUUGGUUUUUGUUAUACCCAUAUCAAUUUAGUAGAACUUAGAUCAAUCUAAACUAAAACCCCAAUAUUAUACUUGAUUAUUUGAUCUAUUGACAUUUAAGAGAACAAACUAACUUUCAAGAGAACAAAUUUGGAGUAAAAAGCUUAUUUUGAUGGUGCCCUUGUAGAUUAAAACUUUUUGAAGAAGGUGAAGAACAACGAAGGUGAAGAAUUGAUCAGUUGAUUAAAAUCGAGCUUUAAAACAGGAAGAAGGUGAAAGAACAAGCUUAAGCAAAAACCUAAGUAUUUUUUGUUUGACAAUAUUUUGACCAAGGUCAAAUUGAAUUGAGAGGGGUAAAAUAGUAAAAUAACAUAUACAACCUUCUUGGAAAAAAAAAUUAUACUGUCAAUUUUUUUUAUACGGUCAACAUACAGUGAUCAGGUCAAACUUGAGUUGACCGUUAGUAUUGAUGAGGCUGGGACGGAAUGGUGACUAAACUCAAAUAAAAAAAAAAUGGUGACGCUGAGCAAAUUUCCCCCCAAAAAGUGGUGACCAAACACAAAUUUUCUCCCUAUUUGUAAUAACUUUUUUUUUUAAGUUUUCUGUUCUAUGAAGAGUAUUUAUUUUUUGUAUAUCAGAAGAUAGAUUGCAUCUAAUGAUAUCAUGAAAUUGAUCAAUGCCUUCAAUGGUAUUUGAACUAUGCAUGAUUUGUUACACUGCAAAACAGGUUGCUAUAGCAUUAAAUCUUUGUUUACCUUCUCUUUGUCGUUAUGAAAGUUUUAUGUUUAACAGGGUUAUUCCAGGUUAACUGGAAGGUCUCAAGAAGCCAAUGUAAGAAUCCUCAAAGAUGUCAAUGGCAAUCUCAAGCCAGGAAGGUAGGAUAUUGAGGGUUUUCAAUUUUCAUUUCAUGACCAUUACAAGCAUUUUCUUUUUUGUAGCUCUAUACUUUCUUAAAAUUUUCAUGUGCUGCAUAUAUUUACAAGUUGAUGUUUUCAAUGUUUCAUCGUAUGGAAAUAGUAUUAAUAGAAUGAUUGCACAUUUAGUAUAUAUGCGUAAUAAUCAUCAUACUUUUGACGCGUACAUCAGAGGUUGGCAAACUAGCUACUUACUGUAGUAAAUUGCACACAAUGUCUUUAAAAUUAUCCAUUUUAAAUGGCUUAAGAUUUCCCUACAAACUUCAUCUAUUUAUUCUGUACGUUGGAAAGUGCAGACACUAGGACUUGGUUGCCUUGGAAACAAAAUUUCUUAUCCACGUACUGAGCUUUGUUCCUGCACAUGUAAAGUCCAACAAUUCAAACCAUCCACCUAAAUUAUGUCAUUCUGGUUCGGUCAGACAUGAUAGUGACUUUGCUCAUGCUACCCUAUGAUUUUUCCUUGUGAAGUGAAGCAGUAGUUUAUUCCCCAUAAGGCAUGAUAAAUCACCAUUCUUGGGCCACACGAUAAGCUCUGCUGAAAGUACCACAUGAGAUGAAACUUGCUGGCCAAGGGUUGGCGUUGCAUGCAAGUCUCUUUGACUUGCCACCUUUAGGGUAUGAGGAGAAUCCUGGCACUCUAGCGAAUGGUCUGGAAUCUAGAUUAAUGUUUACUCUGGUGUGCUGAAUGCUCAAACUCAUGUUGGUUCCUGCCUAGCUGAGCUCUGCCACGUUUAUGAUACUAAUCAUAUUGGUCUUCUCCUCUGCUGUUCAGAUCAAAGUGUCAUGAUCUUUUGAUAUAACCACAGAGCCACCAGUGCCUCUGAUACUAAAGUGGACUUCUGGAAUCUAAACUCUAAAGUCAUGCCAAUAAAAAAUGCAAUCUAAUUUCUUGUUUGAUUGUUCUUCGUUUGGAUGUGAAUCUGUCAAAGAAGUAUUUAUGGUGACUGCAAAUAAUGUUUCCUCAUAAGUUAUAAAGGCUUCUCUGGGUUGCAGGAUGACUCUAUUGCUUGGCCCUCCUGGGUGUGGGAAAACUACAUUGUUAUUAGCUCUUUCAGGGAAACUAGACCAAUCUAUGAAGGUUAAUUCUUUAUUUCUAGUUUUUGAGGUUCUUUCAUUAUAUUUUUUAUGAUUAUGUUCUGAAGAUCUUAUUAGAAGCUAAAGGCAUUGGGCUUUGCUGGUUUUUCAAGGGAAGAGGUUUAAUUCGGUCGUAAAAGUGGAGUUGAAAUGGAGUGGAGUGGGCACACACACACUAGAUACAUUAUGUUGUAGAAAAGAAGCAAAAAGCAUUUUUUUAAAUAUCUUUUAUUUUUACCUUUAUAUCUAGGUUACAGGAGAAAUAUCUUACAACGGAUUCAGACUAGAAGAGUUUGUGCCUCAGAAGACAUCAGCCUAUAUAAGUCAAUAUGACCUGCACAUCCCUGAGAUGACUGUGAGGGAGACACUUGAUUUCUCUGCUUGUUGUCAGGGUGUUGGAAGUCGAUCAGGUAACAUAUAUUUGGUAUACAUUAAUUACAGUUUUGAGUAAAAUUUAUAUUUAAGCUAUAAGGUGCCCUUUUAUUCGAUGUGAAGAGAUUAUGACGGAGGUCAUUAGAAGAGAAAAGAAGUCCGGGAUUGUCCCUGAUCCAGACGUGGAUACUUACAUGAAGGUACAUUGACAGUUUUUUGACUUUCUUUCUUCACAGGGAAACUGAUUUGUUGCAGUGGUAAAAGUGAACUAUGUUAGUGAUAAUCAACUUGAGUGUUAAAUGCUAAACUUGAGUGAUUAUCAAUUGUUUUGUGGAGAAUUUUGAGCUUUUAUAAUGCAAAUGAGGAAAUGACUGAGUAUGAUUUUAUUGUCACUUAUAAGUUGGGAGGAAUGGCGACAUAUUCAUUAUAUAUUUAUUUAUUUUUUUAUCUGGAAAGGUACCAUGAAAACUUAAUCAAAGGAAAUCUUGGAUGAUAUGAAACGAAGCAAUCACAAUAAAGAUAACAAUACAUUUUUCAGCCCAAUCAUUACUUCCAUAUUUACAUGUUAUAUAUAUUAAUCUUAAAAUGAUAGGCCACCUCUAUCCUUCAUUUCAGCGCACCAAACUUGAAAUUAUGAGUCAUAAUAAUUUAUCCCAUGCUUAGUGUUUUCUAAGGUCCAAUACAUGAAGUAUAUCUUUUAUUUGAAUUAAACUAAUUUUAAUAAAGUUAAUAUGUAGUUAAGACACUUUUGUGGCUGAAUAGAACGUUUAUUAAUUAACAAAGAGGAUAGAAUGAGCACAAUGAUAUACUUGGUGAUAGAGGCUUUCACCAAGUAAGAGAACAACAAGGAAAAAAAUACUACAGCUACCAAUACAUUACAUCAUCACCUAAAGGAGUCAAUCCCAAAGUAUUACUUCCCAGUCUGUGAUUGACUGCAUGUAGCCUUGUUUCUUCCUUGAGCCAUCUCCCAGAAGCCAGUACCUGCAUGUAGCCUUGGUCCUCACCCCCACUCUUUCGAUUCUCACUUUCUUACCUUUAAAAAUUAUGUCAUUUCUUACCUUAUGGUCCUAUUUCACAGUUGUUCUGGUUCUGGAAUCAAGUUGUUUCUCUGAUCUGAUUUGUGACUGGUACAAUAAUUAGGUGAAAGCUUCCAGCUUGAAACGUGUCUGUUUAAGGCUUGUUGUUUUCUUCUAAUUCCAGUUUUAUUGAAUUGUACUUUUACUGCCCUCUUUUACAGUUUAUUAUUUUCUCAAUGAAUAUCAAUGAUUUAAGAGAUGCUCAUCUUUGAGCAGGCAAUUUCUGUUCAAGGACUAGAAAAAACUCUUCAAACAGACUAUAUUUUGAAGGUAAUUGUCCUUAGAAGACGUCACAAUUUUCGGCUUUCAUUGGAAUGUGACCAAUCAUUUGAACCUCUUUGUUUUCGAUUGUCUACAAAUCUACUACUUACAGAUACUUGGACUUGAUAUAUGUGCUGACACAAUGGUUGGGGAUGCUUUGAGAAGAGGUAUAUCAGGUGGUCAAAAGAAAAGAGUAACUACAGGUAAGUGUAUAAAUAAAGUGAACAGCUUUAUUCCAAAUAGAACUGUAUGCUUUCUGUACCUAAUACAUAAUGAUUGAGAAAUUGUGCUUUCCAAAGGAACUUGAAGGUGGACAGGUUUUUUUGUAUAGUGUUUCUCUAAGAACUCCAUUGUCUUUGUAUAGGGGAGAUGAUUGUUGGUCCUACAAAAGCUCUGUUCAUGGAUGAAAUAUCAAACGGUUUAGAUAGUUCCACUACCUUUCAGGUUGUUUCCUGUCUUCAGCAGAUGGUGCAUAUUACAGAUGCCACAGCAUUGAUUUCACUUCUCCAGCCGGCACCAGAGACCUAUGAUCUCUUUGAUGACAUUAUAUUGAUGGGAGAAGGAAAGAUCGUGUACCAUGGGCCACGCAGUCAUGUUCUUGAAUUCUUUGAAGAUUGUGGAUUUAAGUGUCCAGAAAGAAAAGGGGCUGCUGACUUUCUCCAGGAGGUAAAGCACAUUAUAGUCUGAAGCAAUGUCACUUUCUUUCCCUGAUUUCUUGGAUAGUGGUAACACGUUAACUGUCACAAAUUCUUUCAGGUUAUCUCUAGAAAGGAUCAGGGCCAGUACUGGUACCAUACUGAAAAACCAUACAGUUAUGUUUCUAUCAAUCAGUUCUGUAAUAAAUUUGAGGCAUGUCAUAUAGGGAAGAAGCUUGAUGAUGAGCUUGCUGAGCCAUAUGAUAAAUCCCUGAGCCACAAAGAUGCUUUGUCUUUUAGCAUGUACUCUUUGACCAAAUGGGAACUCUUUAAGGCCUGCUUAAAGAGAGAAUAUCUUCUCAUGAAGAGAAACUCUUUCAUAUAUGUAUUCAAAUCAUCACAGGUAACUCCCCAUAGGCUUAUUACUCUUAUCUAUAUCGGGUAUUGAUUAAUAAUGUGUUGAGGCAUUGACUCCAUGCUCGUAUCCUGUCUCUGUAGCUUGUUAUCAUUGCGCUCAUAGUAAUGACAGUUUUCCCACGGACUCGAAUGAAAGUUGAUGUGAUCCAUGCUAAUUACUUUUUGGGUUCUCUCUUUUUUGCCCUCGUCAUACUUCUUGUUGAUGGAUUCCCCGAGGUUUCCAUGACUGUUUCAAGACUUGCUGGUUUCUUCAAACAGAGAGACUUGUAUUUUUACCCAGCGUGGGCUUAUGCAAUUCCAGCUGCUGUUCUAAAAAUUCCACUUUCAGUGUUGGAAUCUAUUGUGUGGACUGCUCUUACUUAUUAUGCCAUUGGAUAUACUCCUGAGUUUGGAAGGUGAGUCUCACUUGGUUGUUGAUUCUUUUUAGAAGACAAUGUACAAGUAAGCUGUUAAUUGGAGUCAUACUGAUAUAUGUAUAGCUUGGUGGUAUUAAAUGACUGUUAAAACCCACCUUAUAUGUCUCAAGUGCAUGAAUGUGGCAACUAGAUUGGUUACAGACUGUGUAUAAAUAAGAAAAACGUACGCGGGUCUGGAUCAGCUCAUUGAACACUUCCCCAAUCAAAAUGAAUUUGAUAAGGCUAGACACAACGCUCACAACACGAGGCUCGAAAGCAUUACAAGAAAACAGUAAAAUAGGGUCAGGGAAGCAAGGUGAGUCAGAAUGGGUCCUGUGUCAGCCCACUCGAAUAGGAAAAUACCUCUCCCGUAACCCUAAAAUCACGCUAGAUGAUGAAUUACAUCAUGCACAUAAUUUUGAGUGUCUAUAGACACAAGUGUCAGACUGGGGUCCAUAUCUGGUGUCGGUUGGAAUCUUAUUGUUGUGUCUUUGAGGUGGAGUACUCGUGAUAACGAACGAUUAGAAAGCAAGGGGAGUCGAUACCCUGCAGGUUGAGGCUUGGACGAUACUGCUAUUUUUUUCGACACCCAGUGUCAACAGAGAAAUAUUUUACUGAUUACCGUUGGCAUCUGUGAUCCAUGGGUGAUAGUUUUAGGAAGCGUCCAGGUCUUUAAAAUUACUCUCAUGUAUUUUUGUAUAAUAUCAUGAUAGUUGGGGGUUUAAUGAUAUAUGAGCAUGAACACAAGAAUUUCAUUCAUAAAUUCUUUACUAUAGUGCCUAUAUAACGAGCAUGAACACAACUUGAUAAUUUCAUUCUUGGAGAUUAUAAAGAAAAUUUUAAGCCGUAAAAGUGUGUACUUGCCUUUUCUUUAUUUUGAUUACUUUGGCGCAUUUAUCAAUAUUGUACAUUUUACAUUUUCAAAUAUAGCUAUAUUCUCAAGAUGUCGGAUUAUUCGUUAAUAUUUUGAACCUACUGGGAAGAUCAAAUUCACUUUCUAUUUAACUAUUACCAUGUGAGAUAUCGUAUGUCUGGUACAUAAAAGGAAGGGUUUUGGUAACAAGAUUGUCGUUGAUUGAACACUGUAGGUCUUUACUUGAUGUCUCCUUCUGAUAUCCUUUUGUUUAGAAAUGUUGAAUGAAAAUCAAAAUUCUGAUUCUUGACUUUGACCUGUUUUCUUGAUUAGGUUUCUUCGUCAGUUCCUUCUUCUUUUUGCUGUGCAUCUAAUGUCAACAUCCAUGUUCCGUUUUCUAGCCUCAGUCUACCAGACUGCGGUGGCUUCUACAACAGCGGGUGGUUUUGCGUUGUUGUUUCUAAUGUUAUUUGGUGGCUUUGUUAUCCCACAACGUAAGGCUGCUUAUGGUUUUCCCUAGUGUUAUUCAGACUAACAUGUGACAUGGAUGUAAUUAGUGUCUUUGUUGUUGUAGCCUCUAUGCCAGCUUGGUUACGGUGGGGAUUCUGGGUUUCACCAUUAACUUAUGGAGAGAUUGCCCUCACUACAACAGAGUUCCUUGCUCCGCGAUGGGGAACUGUGAGCUUUCAAUUCUUUCAUUUUUAGUUUUGUGGUUCAGAACUUUGGAUAGUUUGAGCUUAUUACAUACAUAUAUUUAAGUAAACUAACCAGGCCCAGCUAUAUAUAUAUGCAUUCAUUUCCAUUGAACUUUUGGACUCCUUAUGUUGGCCUUCCGUAUUUGAUAAAUUUGUCUAUGUCUAUCAAGAUUUCAUAACAACUCUUUCGACAGAAUAAUAUUAACAAACAAAAAGCAGGUCUUUUUUUUUGUUUUUUCUUAUAUGCAUUGUCUGUUAGAGGUCAAAUUGGAUAUAAACAAGAAGUAUUUAUGUGCCAAAUGCUGAGUUACUAUUUGAACCUCAGGUAUCACCUAGAGGCUAGAGCUUAAUUUGCCAACAAAAGUCUAGAGAGGUAAACUGCUUUGUCUACGAAUGGAACUGGCGUGCUUCAAGAACUAUUACCACAGACCUUGGGUUCAAAAGCCAUCGACACCAUGAUAUAUAACUAACCAAUCAAAAGAGAUUUAAAAUCUUCAUGAGUUAAAAGGAAGAACAAUAUUGUAGUGCCGAUGGAACUGGCAAAUUAUAAAAUUGUGCCAUAAUACAACAUUGCAUAGUUGCAUACCAAUAGACAUUUACAGUUUCAUACAUGAUAAAAGUAAGACUGAAUAUUUCAAACCUCUGGUUCUCUGUCCGGAUGUAUAUAUAAUACAAUCUGAUAACCAUCCCUACUCCUUCUAUUUUUUCCUUUUAGAAACAGAAUCAUAUAAUCAUCUGGACUUAAUCUUUGGAUCACAAUUAAGUAAUUUUAUGAGAAAAGUAGUGAUUUGUGGUACAUAUACGUUAUAUGUCCUAUAGUCAUUGGUCAUUCACUCAUUUGUGAUCUGGAAGUACAAUUUGCACAAAAAUCUUUCCGAAACGGGAGUCAUUAUAUAAAUUUGAAAAAGUAAUUCAGGAUUCCUGUAUUUCAAAGAGAAAUGUAGUUUUUAUUGAAUAAUUAUCAGGAUACCUCUAUUUCACCACAUUCCAUAACGAGUACAUGCAACCUGCUAAUUAACAACCCAUAGCUGGGCUACGAGAAGCAAACACUGCAGAAGUUACAAUAAACUCAGAAGAAAUAUAUUUAUGAAUGAUGUUCAAAGAUUGCUAUUACCAAUUGGUCUAUGUUAAUUGUGCCCUAAUGUUUAUGUCUUAUGUGUUUCCUUCUGAUUGUAGCAUAUAAAUCCUAAAGGUUCAAUGUUUUAUGUGAACUUGACCCUCCCUCUAAUGAUGAUAUGUGCCAAUAGAGAGGGUGGAUACUGGUUUCUCUUUCUUAAAAACUGGUGGAGUUUGCUUACACUCGGGCUAAAUGAUUCAUGAAGAAAAAUAUUAAAAUUGAUUAACAAGAUAAUCAUUUACAAAUAUUAGGUGUUGGCCAAUUUCUCCUUUCCGUGUAUGAUGCACACACAGAUGUGGCAGUUCAAAACCAUGCUUAUGGUUUAGAGAGCUUAUACCAUAUUUUAUCCUUUGUGGUUUUUCCUUAUUGUGAAGUGAAUAGCUAUGGUGAAUCACCCAUUUGUCAUUGCCUAUUAAUUACAUACUCUUCUGUUGAUUUACAGAUGGUAUCAGCAAACACAAGUAUAGGUGCACAAACACUGGAAAGUCGUGGCUUGCGCUUUAGUGACUACUAUUAUUGGAUAUCACUUGGCGCAUUGUUUGGGUUUACGAUACUUUUCAAUAUUGGAUUUACCCUGGCUUUAUCGUUUUUUAAGGGUAAGUUCAUCUUUACAAGUGCACAACUAAAAGAAGAGAUUAUCUCGAAUUGUGUACUUACCCAUAUUUUGAUGUAUAUCUAGCGCCUGGGAUGUCUCGUGCCAUCAUCUCUCAUGACAAGCUCUCUCAGUUGCAAGAAAUGGAUGAUUGUAAUAACCGCAUUCAUGUCAAGGAGAAACCUCCUAGUGCUCCUUCCAAGUUUGAGGAGCCUGGAAAAGGUUUGAAGAUUGUUCUCCUUAUGUCUUUACCUUCUAAAUGUAACAAUGGAUAAUGUCGUGAGCAGUAUACUUUAUUCCCACACUCCCCGACUUCAUAUGCUCUAUUUAUAUGUAAGGUUUUGUUCUUGUGUGCUAAGAAUUCCUUGGCUGAUUUCACAGGAGGUAUGGUAUUACCAUUCGAGCCCCUAACAGUAGCAUUUCUGAAUGUGCAGUACUUCGUUGACACACCUUUGGUAAUCAUUGAAAUUUUUUACUUUACAUUAAGGCCCUGUGUGGACCAUAAAUAGGUAUAGUAUUACAAUUGGAGACCCUAACUUAGCAUUUUAGAAUGUGCAUUACUUCAUUAACAACCCUUUGGUAAUCAUUCAAAAUUCUUACUUUUACAAUCAGGCCCUGUGUGGUUUCAUUGUGUCAUCACCAUUGACACCAUCAUUAUCAAAGCUUCCAAAAUGCUUAGAACUUUCUCCUUCAGCAAACCUUUCUGAAAAUAUUUUGUUGACAAGAUAUGUGGACUGUAAUGUUACAAACGAAAAUAUAGAAAACUCUAUUCUUCUAUAUACUUUGUGCAGCAUAGAGAUUAUUUAUAUAAAUUUCAUUUGGUGCCUAAAUUUACAUUCCUUGAAAUCCGAUCCAGUUGGAUCCAAUGACAUCAUUUAGAUCUCAUAUUUCUGUGAUCUCAGGAAAUGAGGGAACGAGGUUUCACUCACAAAAAACUUCAACUACUUCAUGAUGUUACUGGUGCUUUCAUGCCUGGUGUUCUAACAGCACUAAUGGGUGUUAGUGGAGCUGGGAAAACAACUUUAUUGGAUGUUCUUUCUGGAAGAAAAACUGGUGGUACUAUUGAAGGCGAUAUAAGAAUUGGUGGAUACCCUAAGGUCCAAGAAACAUUUGCUAGGAUUUCAGGGUACUGCGAACAGAAUGACAUACAUUCUCCACAAAUUACUGUGGAGGAAUCAGUGAUUUAUUCAGCUUGGCUGCGACUUCCACCGACUAUUGAUUCAAAUAUAAAACUAGUAAGAAAUUAUGCAGUAGCAGAGUUAUUUGUUAAUCUUUGAUGCUUUCCGCGAUCUAAUAAAAUUGAUCACAAUAUACUUCACAGGCUUUUGUCAAUGAAGUUCUUGAAACCAUUGAGCUGGAUGGAAUUAAGGAUUCUUUAGUAGGUGUACCAGGUGUUAGUGGUCUCUCCACGGAGCAGCGUAAACGACUUACAAUAGCUGUGGAGCUUGUUGCCAACCCAUCUAUCGUCUUCAUGGAUGAACCCACCUCAGGUUUAGAUGCAAGAGCAGCUGCAAUUGUGAUGCGGGCAGUGAGGAAUGUGGUUAACACAGGAAGAACAGUUGUCUGCACUAUCCACCAACCUAGUAUUGAUAUAUUUGAGGCAUUUGAUGAGGUACAAAUAGUUUAAUGAGGUUAAAAUGGGAAUAAAAUUAGCUGAAUGUGAGCUAGAUGAUGGGUCACAAUUAGGAUACUCACCCAAAUCUGACACAUAUAUGCUCCUGAUCUUUUUAUGUGCCUAGAAAUUUCAUGUUUGGGUGAGUUUUGCUGUAGAUGUCCAUAUAAACAAUACCCAUGAAAGAUCAACCCUAUAGGAAAUUUAGACUAUCAUCGAACUUAUUUUGAUGAUUAUAUUAUAAGUAGCACCAUCUAUUUCAUAUUAGCUAUUGUUUUAGCUCUAAAUCAUACCAGGUAUCAGAAGGUUCCACAUAGAUUGAUAGCCUAAUGUGUAUUUCUAUUCUUCAUGCAGCUGAUUCUAAUGAAAAAUGGAGGACGCUUAAUCUAUUCAGGACCACUGGGUCAGCAUUCAAGAAGGGUUAUAGAGUAUUUUGAGGUAUAUUUGUCAUAUUUAUGUUGCCCAACGGCUAUGCAAGUUCAGUGUUGGUCCUCUCUAGUUAAUAUGGGUUGCCUAUAUUCUAAAAAUCCUUCCUUACUUUGUAGGGUUUUUCUGGGGUCCAAAGGAUAAAAAGCAAUUACAAUCCUGCAACAUGGAUGCUAGAAGUCACAUCUACAUCUGCUGAAGCAGAACUUGGUGUAGAUUUUGCCCAUCUUUACAGUGAAUCCUCUUUGUCUGAGUAAGUGUAACUACUUGUUAGUUGCAAACUAGAAAUUUACAUAGGACAGUAAGUCCCAGACCUUGUUGACUGGCCAGGAUUUCAACAUUUGACUUGUGAAUGAUCGGUAUUAUUUCUAAUUGCAGGACUACUAAAGAGCUUGUUAAAAACCUUUCCUCUCCUCCACCUGGUUCAAAGAACUUACAUUUUCCGACCCGCUUUCCACAAAAAAGUUGGGGACAGUUCAAAGUAUGCCUUUGGAAGCAACAUUUGUCCUAUUGGAGAAAUCCUGCUUAUAACUUAACACGUAUUGUGCAUAUGGUUGUCUCGUCCUUGCUUUAUGGUGUGGUGUUUUGGAAGCAAGGUAACAAACUGUAAGUAAACAAACUCAAUUCCACUACAAACAUUGAACAGAGCAGGAUACUUUAAAAGGUCAAUCAACUGUAGGUAUAAGUGAUAAAAAGAAAUGUAGACCAUUAUUAUGUCAAUCGGGGGACUAUAUUUACAGGAUCAAUUGGUUAGCAAUUCAGUCUAUUACAUUCUCGUGGGCCGUUAAGGUCUUAUUUCAAGACUUAAAUUAAAAUUACCAUGUAAGUUCCUCCAGAUGAUUGAUUACAUAAAACUGAAAUGUACUCUUUAGAUUUUAUUGAUAGGAGUGAGAUGUGAGUUUACUUUAUUUGGCCUAUCUUAUUUUUAGGUGUCCCUAUUACAAAUGCCAAAAACAUAUAAAUAUAAGUACAAAAUGGUUCACUAACAGAACUUAACAUGAAUAUUGAUUUUCAUUUUGUAGAAAGAACCAGCAGGACUUGUUCAAUAUAUUUGGGUUUUUGUUCACAGCCACAAUCUUCUUUGGCAUAAAUAACUGCUCCUCUAGUUUACCAUUCAUUGCUACUGAGCGCAAUGUCUUGUACCGGGAGAAGUUUGCAGGAAUGUACUCUUCAUGGUCCUAUUCGUUUGCCCAGGUAUGGAGAACCCUUAAAAACUUGGUGUGUUGCCGUGGCUUGACCCAAUGCAUUUAACUGGUAAUAUAUUCGGAUUUAGUGAAGUAUUCAUUUAGUCAAAGUGAAUACUCCAUAGACUAAAGUUGGCUCUUCUGCCCAUUAUGUUUGUUCUUUUCUUUUUUUUCUCAUCAAAAACAAAUUUUAUUGAUAAAAAUUUGAAGAAUUACACAAAAGUAGAGGACAUUUAUUCCUUGGCAGUAAUGAAGAAUGGUGAAAUGUUGUCUAAGUGUGUGACAUUUAUUCCUUUGGCUUUAACUAAUCGGAAAAAGUCCCUUGUAAAUAUUUACAUCUGAGUUUUCCCCUCAUCUAUUGUCAACUAACGUCUGAAAUGAAACUAGUAUAGACCACCUUCUCAAGUCUACUAAACAUAUAUUUAUGGUUUGUAUUAGUAAUGCUUUAUGCAUCUCAUUCUUACUUGAAGUUGCUUUCUGUUAGGUUGCAAUUGAACUUCCCUACUCAUGCGCCCAAGCACUGUUAUUUGUAAUCAUUUCAUAUCCUAUGAUUGGGUUCAUCUGGUCCCCUUAUAAGGUGUUCUGGUUCUUCUAUGCUAUGUUUUGUACACUACUCUACUUCAACUACCUGGGAAUGCUGCUUGUAUCGGUGACACCAAACGUUCAAGUAGCAGCCAUAUUAGCUUCUUCUUGUUACACCAUGUUAAAUUUGUUCUCUGGCUUCCCCAUACCAGAACCGGUAAGUUAAACUCUACUCACCCUACAAUGGUCAUUGGGGCUAUUGAUCUAGAAGGUUGUUCAGCUGUUCUUUAGUUAUGGUGAAUGGUUUUUAUGGAAUACUUGGAACAUUUUACCCAUGUGAAGUAUGAGACUUACAAAUAUCUGAACACGUUAUUUAAAUUAGAAAAAUAAAUAUGCAGUUUUAGUGUCAUCUAUGAUGCUAUAUUCAUAACUGGUAGCUCUGUGUUUGUAUUGAAAAGCUUUCCACACAAAAUGAAAAUGUACCAUAUAGUUAGGCAAUGCAAGUGUAAGAUGGAAUUCAUGUAGUUUACUCAUAUUUGUUGUGUGUCUGUGUGUCUUUCACUCAUUCUCCAAAUAGUAUUGGACUAUUGGGUCUUGACAGAGGAAAAUGAAAUCUGACUUUACCGUGGUCUUGUUAUGCAGGAAAUUCCUAGGUGGUGGGUUUGGAUGUAUUAUCUUACCCCGACUUCUUGGACAUUGAAUGCGCUAUUCACAUCACAAUAUGGAGACGUACACAGGGAUAUAAUGGUGUUUGAUGAAACAAAGACUAUUUCUGCUUUCUUAAAAGAUUAUUAUGGGUUUCACAAUGACCGUUUGGGUAUUGUGGCUGUUGCCCUUGUCGUGUUUCCAGUUGCUUUUGCUGUUAUUUUUGCAUACUGUAUAGGUAAACUCAACUUUCAAAGAAGGUAAAUGUUUCACACAUACCAUAAAUGUAUUUUCAGAAUCCAAUCAUCAUUCUAAUAAAGAAUCUGAGCAUUUUUGGUUAUGUAUACAACAGUCUAAGAAUUUUUCAUUUUUGAUUAUGUUUUAAACUCGUGAAUAUUUGUUUCUUCAUGCACAGCACAACAAUGAUAUGUUACAUAACUGAUGUCGUGGUCUUUCGUUUUACCAUCAUAAUAACUUUUAGUAUGUAUCAGCUGCUCAAAGUUCUUUUCGUUAAUGUUCCAAAUGCUUUGUAUAUGUUAUGCUUGACGCGAAGGUAAUUGCUCUCAAAAACUUGUGAGACAGAUGGAUAUUUCUGUGCUGCCUUUGUCCAAUGUUCAUGUAAUUAUCAGCUCUGUUGUAACUGUUCUGAUAACUCAGAAAUUUCUUACAAUCGUAUAUGAGAUAAUCUAAUGGUGAUCCUGUCAGCCACUAAAUGACCUGUAAGUGUGUUGAGACAUGAAAUCUUGACUGAUUGACAAGUAGUUCAAGUUGAAGCAAUAAUGAGAUCAGGAAGGUCUAGUGUUGCAAUCUGCUGAUCAGUUUAUAUUAGUGUGUAUAAACAAAUUUUAUCCUGUAUUUCCCUCAUCACUACGGUUCUUUCAUAUAUUUAUUGGCAUUUUGUCUCCUUAAAUUAAGGAUAGAGGUAGUUUCAAGCGUGUCGUGCUUCAAAUAUCCAGAUUCUCACCUCAAUCAUAAUUUGUUGAGGUUAAGUUCUUUGGCUUAGACGGGGUGUCUGGUAAAAGUUAGGCCUACUUUUUACAGGUCAAUGGAAUCUUCAUGCCCAAAACCCCAAUUCCGGUAGUCAUUUAUUUGGCACCUCACAAGGAGGUGGAACUGCCGCUCUAACCCUUGUAGGGAGAUGUCAUCCACAAACGCAAAAUUUAUGGCCGACUGAUAUUGCUCAUCAUCAUUCAGAUAUUGCUGGUCACAUUCCUGUUUUGGCUUAUAGUUGCUAUCAUCUCCUCGACCAGGAAAGUUGUAAUAGACAUUCUAGAUGGUUUCGUUCAUGUCCUAAAUGGUUUCACCCAUGUAAUGUAGAUCUUCCUUAAAAGCAUUAAGGAUUUUCUAAAACGAAAAAAUCGGAUCUAUUCCAUUAAGUAUAGUAACCCUAUUAGACAUAUAUUGAUGGUUCACAUGUUCCAAUUUAUUAGUAGGGAAUGUGAAGAUCGUUUUUUCACAAGUAAAUCACUGAUCAAAUAAAAAAACUCUUUUUGAGUAAAAUAAAACUUUCACGAGAUGAACAUUAUAUCUAAUUAUAUUAUCUUCAGUCAUUUGUUUAUUUUCUAAUUACACCCACAUUGGCAGUAUGGUUGCAUGUUCCAAUUUGUUAGGAGAGAAUGUGAAGAUUGAGAAUGUGAAGAUUGCUUCACAAGUAAAUCAUUAAAUCAUUGACCCAGAAGAAAAACAAAAAAAGCUCCAUAAUUCUUUAUUCUAAUAAUCUUCACGAGAUGACGCUAUCUAAUUAUUUUCUUAUUACUACCAUGGUCUCUAACUCUCUCUCUCUAUAUAUAUAGGCCAAAGGGAAAGGUUCAGAUAACAACUCAUUACAAUACUACAAAUAAAAGUGCUUUUGUAUUCCAAUUGAGAGUGUGCAAAACAGAUUCUGAUCAGAAGCACCAGAAGAAUAUAUGGCUAACACAGUAGUCCUGAAGCUGGUUUGUGCAUUGGUGGUAUGCAUGGUGGUGACUGCACCCUAUCCCUAUGUGGAAGCUGAGGUGACAUGCAAUGAAGUGAAGAAUGAUCUGAGUACCUGCCUUUCCUACCUCCAAUCAGGAGGAGCUGUGCCAACAACUUGUUGCAACGGCAUGACAUCUCUAUAUUCUGCUGCUAAUGAUACACCAGCUCGUCAGACUGCCUGUCGAUGCAUCAAGCAAUUUGCAAGUAGUGUCUCUGGGAUUAACCAAGAUAAUGCUAGCUCUCUGCCUGAAAAGUGUGGUAUAUCUAUUGGAUUCCCGAUCAGCCCUUCGGUCGAUUGUUCUAAGUAAGCACCUGAUCGAUAUAUGUUAUUCACUUAUUAAUGCAAAUCUUGACUUAGUAACACUAGUUCAACUUUUCUUCCCUCUGAUAGUUCUCUUUUGAUUGUCUUAAUUGUGGUGCAGGGUACAGUGAGACUGCGCUGCCUACACAGCUAGCUAUCCACAAUUGUCCUUUUAUAUAUAGAGACAAUAUUUGCUAUAUAUAUAUAAUAAGGUGGACAUUGAGUGUCACCAACGGCAGUCUAUGCAUUUGGUCUAUGGUACCAUGUAUUUGAUUUGAUUCGAUGUUUUUUAAUUUUUUUUUUUUUCUUAUGGAAGACCAUGUAUUUGCUUUGCAUUAUAAAGAUGAUGGUUACACAUCUCAUUCAUUUUAGCACCUUUUCAAUUUUCCUGUGAAGUUCACUUAUUUAUUUAUCAUCUUCGACUUGAUGUAAUCACAUUGGUUGAAACAUAAUCUUAAGUUCCAAAGGCAAAUGAAAAUAAUCCAUAAAGAGAUCAACCGGAACAUCUGCACGUAGUAGUGUAGUACUACUACGCUUGUGUGAAUAAUGGAAGAUGAACUCCUUUCCAACAUAUUUUGAAACACAGAGUGAAGACGAAUACAUGAUAGUUCCUCACAGCAUUUCCAUGGGGUGAUCUGCACCUAGCUCAAUUGUUACAAUACUUCAUGAUAUAUGAUCCUUAAUGAGGAAAGAAUGAAUAGAAAAAAAAUGUCUCUGUAUAGUGAUUCGACGAUUGCUGCAUACCUAAGAAAAAUUAUAUGGAUUUCACCUGUUUAGGUAUUGUAGUCAUUGCCAUUUCCGUGUUUCCAGUUGCUUUUACUGUAACGUACUCAACAUUCAAAGAAGAUAAAUGUUUAUGUAUGUUAACAUGUUGUUGUAGCCAGAAGAGGAGUAUUUACUAUUUAGGGAGAAUGAAUAUACAGUACAUAUGUAUAAAACUUAACUGCUGCUUAAAUGGUUAAUAAUGGGAAAAGCAGGCUACAUCAUCACCUGCAGAAGCUGAACUAUGCAUCUACAUUGGCUGGGCUUUGAUUCUUGGAGUUACAUGGCCCAAUGGAUAACUUUAAAAGAGCCCAACUUCAUAGAGCCCAUGAGUGUGGACUUAUUUGGUCUGGACCGUAGCCCAUGGGCAAUUAAAACUCUGCUCACCACGGUGCAGCUCAACAGUCGUCUCUUUCAUUUGAAGAUUCCAACAAGCCAAGGCAGCAAAUUUGAACAUAGAAAGUGAGAGAGAAGCCAACAAACCCUAAUAUUUAUUUUUCAGAUUAAUUAUGAUGAAUUCCUCUUUCUUUUUAUUUUAAUUAUAUUAUGCAUAAUUAUUGUAUAUUAGGAAAAUUAGAUAUUAUUAUUAAUUUUUUUAUUUGUGAAUUUUACAAUUGGAUUAUGAUUUUGUAACACUGCAUGCCAAGUCAAGGUUUUAAUAUUUUUACUUUUUGCAAUAACAUCAAAUACACAUUCACUGAUCAAGUUAUAUGUAUCUAUAAGAUGAUGUAAAGUUAAUUUUAUAAGAUGAAGUUAAUUACAUUCACAUUUUAAUAAUUUCUACUUUCAACUUUUAGAUUUUACAACAACUUAUAAGAUAUAUUUACACUCUUGCCUAAAGUAUGAUAUUGUAUCUACAAUUAAUUGGGAUUUUAUUAGAUUAAUGCGUAAUCCUGAAACAAACUCCAACUAAAGAAGGAGAUAGGUGAUAUUUUAUUUUAUUUUUUGAUUGUUAAUAGGAAUUCAUCAUGGGCGUAAAAGAGUCUGGAAUUGGUUGUUUUCUUCAGUCCUAGUGCUGUGCAGUAUGCACAUCACCCAUAUAAAUGGAUUUUGAAAUAUAACAAAUUAGCAUAGGACAGUUUUUGAUCGACUGUAGAAUGUUUUGUGUUCAUAAGAAUGGUUAGAAUUUUAUGUUAGCAUUAUAAGCAACUUAGUUAUUAUCCACCAGUUCAGACAACUUUCAUAUAAUCCCUCUUUAUGGUUGUAAUUAUUGAUUUUGAACUGCAGGGAAUUGUAUAUUUGUAUAUCAGUGUUUUUGCCCCUGAGGUGAUUUCAAAGUACCAUGUAUUUCCAUACAGUAUGUAUGAAUUGCUGUGGGAAACCUCACUGUGUGAAUGGGCGGUUUCGCUUCAACUCCAUUUGGUCUUAAUGGCCAUGGUCCCAGCAAUUGUAAGCUUGCUUAUCAUUUUCUUACCUUUUUCUUUAAGUAAACACUACAACUUCUCUGAUAAGAAAUUGAACUGGUCCAAGCAUUAAGAUCAUCUGCUGGAUUGAUUUUUACUAAUGAAAGUCCUAAUACAAGCCUUCUGGUGCCCUUAUUUGCAUCCCUGCAUGUGCACAAAGCACUUUUAUAGUGGUCCACAGACAUCAGCUCAAUGAUUCUUAUGAUACUCGAGUUUGACGGAAGGCACCUAAAACUUUUCCAUUUAAGACAUUUCUGCGCUUUUACAUUUUCUCUAGAAAACUAUUCCAUGAGAGUUAUGAUCUCUCGUACACACCCACGAAUUAUUUAGGCUCGUAUAAUGAGUAGGUUCUGUCAAGACUUAUCCUUUGGACAUAUUCAUAGAGUUUUCUCUAUGAACAUGACGAGAAAUGCUAAGGAGCUACCCCUUUAAAGUGAAACAUCAAUCUGCCCCUCUAAAAGACAAUUUGUUAAUGGCAUUCUGGAAGACAUUUAAAAUGUUCAAUAUUUUAGCUCUCUUAUACUGUCUUUAGAGGGGUAAGUUUGUGCUGCUCUAUAAAGAAGUAGCUUCUUAGCAGAUCUCCCGUUUUGGCAUGGCAAAUGGAUUAUUUUAACAAGGUUAAAUUCUUGCAGAUGACUUGGUAAAGGUUAGCAAUAAUUCACACUCUUUAAGUGACUCAAUCUGAUGCAUAUCGAGUCACUAUUUUCUCUUAUUUUCUUUUUCUUAGUAGGGAGGUAGCUGAUUAUGAGUAUCUAUCAGCUGCUCAAGUUGCUUUUUGUUAAUGUUCCUAAUGCUCGUAUAUAUUAUGCUUGACACAAAGGUAGUUGCCCUCAAGAAGUUGUGAGGCAGCUUGUAUCGAUAUAAAUAUGCUGUCAGGAUUUCCAGAAUGUGGUGCACAUGCAUGGGAUCAAGACCACUGUUCAUUACCCAUACUUGGACUUUUCUUAAGUUCAAAUUUGAUUCAGCAGAAAAAGAAUGAUAUUCUGACUUAAUUAUUGCAGUCAUCUGAUCACUUCUAUAACUCCCUUUGUAACCCUUUAAAUUAUUUCUUCUCCCAUCCAGAGGAAAGUUUGUAUCAAUUGUAAUAUUCGGGUGGUAGAUUUGGCUCCUUGUCAUUUGUCUUAUCUCUACAUUUAACCUUUUGUUCAAAUUGUGUGUAAUCAUUGUGAUCUAUUACAGGACUAUUAUUAUGCUUGGUACUGGUAAAAGUGUUUUUUCUUUUGAUAUCUGUGAGAGUACACUCUGCUAAUAAUGACCAUAGGUUAAUACAUCAUACUUAGAUGUUCUCAAUAAUCUAGAAUACUCCAUCCAAUGUUCACAUAAUCAUCUUUUAAUAUUAAUCAUGAAAUACAAAUCUAGAACAUUUAUAAUAGAUUGAUAAGCUCUGUUGUAACUGUGUGGAAGACUGGGAAAUUCCUUUAUAUUGGUAUUUCAGAGAAUCAAAUAUUUAUUGGCUUUUUUCUCUUCAAAUUAAGGGUAGAAGGUUUUUUUUUUUUUUUUUUUUUUUACCAUUCAAGUAUAAAAUUCACACUAAUUGGAAUUUGGGGUGACAUUGAGCCUUCAUAUUGUGACAUCUCAUAAGUGAUAGACUUUGAUGAUUCACAUGUUCCAAUUUCUUAGUAGGGAAUGUGAAGAUAUAUCUAAUUAUUUUCUUCAGUUAUGUGUUUGCUAUUUAAUUUAGAAAAUGUCCAUCCACACUUAGCUGUAUGAAAUUUGUCUGUUUGACUAUGCAAAUAAUCUUUCUUCUUGAUAUUCUAAAGGAUAUGCAACCCCUUGAACGGCUAUGAGUGCUUGCUUAAAAAAAAAAAACACAGAUUUCAAUAGAUUUAGGUUGUCUGCAUAUCUUCAUGACAAUCUCAUUCUUUGAACAAGCAAUCCUAUUUAGUUUCAACUUAAUAAUAAAAAAAUUAAAGAAAAUAAAUAAUGAAGUAAUAAAAUACAUAUAUUUGGAUCAGCACUUAUGGUCACAGAAGGUGUAUAUUAUGAUAGCAAAAUUAGGAUCCAACCACUCUUUCUCUCUAUGAAACUUCUUAAAACAAAACAGUCAUUUUACUUGCUUCAACAGCAAUGAUGCAUUGCAUCACCUUAUUAAUCUACAAGGUCUAAGAGAACAUAGAACAUAUCUUCCACCAUUUUUCUCCCACUGCAUUUGAGUUGCCAAGUAUGUGAAACUGGCACUCGGUUGUUUGACAUUAAUUUUGUGACAUUGGAUGUCCAUGGUUAUCUCGCCUUGAGUUCAUUGUUAGGAAAACCUCGUUGUACGCGCGUCGUCCCUAGUCCUUCUCUUCGCGUCAAGUUUGUCAAAAGUGAGUUUUUGGGUUUAGGACGUACGUACCUAGUUAGGGCGUACGUACGUCAUGUUAGGCAGCAAACAUGUUUUGGUCAGGACGUACGUACCUAGUUAGGGCGUUCGUACGUCCAAGCAGGCAGCGAACUUUUACAGUGUGGGGACGUACGAACGUUGUUUCGACGUACGUACGUCCAAUGUGGAUUUCAGCAAUUCCAGCCCAUUUUGUGUGUGUUCUAACCCUAAGUAUAAAUAAGGUUUCUCUACCAAAGAACAAGUUAGUUCUUUGGCCGUCCAAUUCAUCUCUAGUCUUGGAGUAUGUUUAGGUUUUGGUUUUAGGUUGUUUUGGUGAUUGAACUCAUCUUCUUCUUCCCCAUUCAUCUUCUUCUUCUUCAUUAUUGUUUAUAUUGAUUUAGCUUCGAGUCUUCUUGUGUGUUCAUCAAGAAGUCGAGUAUCCUUGUGUGUUCAUCAAGGAACUCUGGUGUAAGCUUGUUCCAUAGUUCGGCUUCGAGUCUUCUUGUGUGUUCAUCAAGAAGUCGAGUGUCUUGUGCGUACAUCAAGGUGCUCCGGUGAAGUCAAGGUGUUAGAGAUAACCAGUAGUGUCAACUCGCAGUGAUUGCAGGUAGUUGAUAGGUUUGUACAUCUCUUUUCAUCUAGUGGAUUUAUUUGUUGUCGCGAGGACAACCGUGGACGUUUCCCAUAUUGGGUUUUACCACGUAAAAAUAUCGUGUGUUCUUUAUUUGUUUAUUGCUUUAUUGUUUGUUUUACUAUUGUUAUAUUGCACAUAUAUUGGGUUCUCAAUUGGUAUCAGUCGCAGGGCGCUUGUUAUGGAGCGUAAUGGCUCACGCGUAGAUCCUAUGAGUGCAAUAAUGGUUCAUGAGUCUGGUUAUAAUAAUUUUAUUGCUAAAUCGUCUAAAUCUACAAAACCAAAAUCUGAUUUUGAAAAGGAUGAUAAUUUGUAUGUUGUUAGCAAUAGUGAUUGGGCUCUUCUUUACAGACUUUCUGCAAAAGAAUGUGAUAGAUUACAAAAAGCUAAUAUUGAUUUGCAGGAAAAGUUUAAUAAAGCUAAUUGUAAUUUGUCUACUAUUUCUGAUAAUUUUUGUUUUGAAGAUAAUGGUGUUUUGUAGAAUAAGGUUGAUUCUCUAGAAUAACGACUCAGACAUUGUGCAGAAGACUAUAUGCUUCAAGGGGAAGUUUAUGAAUCCAAAAUUAAAAAAUUGGAUAAGGCUAAUCUUACUUUGCAGGAUAAAAUCGAAACUCUUGAAAAACAAAUUCUUUCUGCUGCAGAUUGUGCAAUUUCUAUUUCUCAAUUAUUUGAAAAAGAAAAACUUGACUUGUUAUGUAGAAUUGCAGCUUUAGAGAAGGCCAAUCAGGAGGUCGAUGAGAAAUACAAAUCUUUAUUGGUGGAGUAUGAGGUAACAAAGAACGAUUUAACGUCUACUCAACUCCAAUUGCAGGUUUUUGACAAAACUAGAUUUGACUCUCCUAUUACUAGUUCUACUAGUUCAUCUAGUGUGACUACUUCUGUAAAAUCUAGUUUGCCUGCUCUUUUGCCUACCCCGCCUAUUGAGACUAGACUUAAUACUAAUAGUUUUCAGCAUGUUUCUCGCACAAAGUUUAAGUCUAAGGCUAAUGAUAAUGUUGCUUUUGCUGGUAAGCCAUCUUGUUCUAAUAGAGGAGGUAUGGGUUUUGUUAAGGGACAAUAUCAUAAACCAAAUAGUGACAUACAUGGUUUAUCCACCACUACUGCAUUUUCUUAUAAGACUUGUUUGAGAAAAUCUAAUAAUUUUCAUUGUUCUUAUUGUGGUAGAGAUGGUCAUUUGGAUAUCUUUUGUUGGGAUUUUAAUAACAUGUUAAAUGUUAUACUCAUGUUCCUUAUAAUUAUAAUCUUGUUGAUUCUUAUGUUCCUUCUUGUGCGUUUUCUAGACCUUGGAAUUCUAAUGUUUAUUGUCAUAGGUUUAAGAGAAACAGAUACUCCAACAAAAGGAAGUCAAAGACUAAGGUGGAAUUAGUUAAGGACAAGUCUAUUGCAAAGCUUGUUAAGGGGAGAUCUCAUAUCUUUUCAAUUCCCAAGGUGUGCACGCCUAGUGUUAAACAAGUAUGGGUAAGAAAGGAUAAGUUGAAGGUUUUUCUGGACUUGCAAAGGUCUGGUGGUGUCCCACAUUUGGGAUGAUGUAGUUUGUUUCUAGCCUUGUGUUAUUUAAAUUGCAUAUUUCUCUAACCACAUAGGCUAUUUGUUUGGUGUGUUUUUUUUUUUUAUGUUUUGGUUGUCUAGCUUGCAGAUCAUGCUGCAUGUCUGAAUACAUUGUUAAUAAAAAAAAAGGGGGUUGUUGGUUAUUCCUUCUAAUUCUUUUAUUCCAUGUAUGUGUUGUUAGAUGCAUCGUUUCUGAGAUAUUUGCUUAAUUCAAUUGUCUUACAUAAGUUGCAAUUUGUUUGGGAGGUUUAGGUUCUUUUAUUAUCUCUCUUCUAUAGGCUUCGUCUUAGGUGUUGAGGACAUACUAGUCUAUUUAUUGUUUGGAUUCCAUUAUUUUUGGAUAGUUAUAGUUUGGUAACUUCAACUGUGGAUUCCUGUCAAGGAUUGUUGUAGGGCUGCAUCAUACUCCCUUUGCCUUUGGUGGUUUACUGCAUGAUGCAUUUGCAUGUUGUGGGAUUUUUAGAGUAUUUUUAUACUUUGAUCCUUGUAUGAUUAAGUAUUGAUCAUCUGACAUCAUCUCUAGCUUCUGUUUUCUUCAUGGUCAUCAUUUUUUUUAUAUAUACCUCUUGUAAGUGGUCAAUGACUCACAAAAUCCCCAGCCAUUUGAAUGUCUUAAGCGCAUUAUCAGUUGGCUAGGAACCCGUUGGGGCUGUGAGGGUCAUGCUCUGACGGAUGCACUCAGGAGAUGUUAGUUCUUGUGUUGCACGUUAUCAUGGUAUUGCACUUCUUGAGUGUGUUUUGCCGAAAAGAUGUAGGCUACACCCUACCCUCGUGUUUUGGUAAAAGAUGGAGGUGUCCUAUACUCCCACACGAGAAUGGCAUUUAUUUUACAUGGAUAAAACCAAUAAAAAUGUUCAUUGUGUUUGAACCAGGGUCUUUCCGUAUUGCAGCCUAGACAGUGUUUCCUUGGUUUUGGUGUGAUCUGGUUCACUUUUAUAUUUGUCCAAUUGCAAGUGACUUUCAAAAUACUCAUUGAUCUUAGUUUCGGUUUGUUUCCGGAUUUUGGUAUAGGACUACCCUGCUUCUCCUGCAUAGUUGCAUCAUUCUUUUGACUACCGUGGUUUGGUGUAUGAUUUAGUUCUUCGUUCUUGCAUUUUCUCAUGGUUGAGGCUUGUUCAAAUUGUAUUCGUGCUUUAAUCGGAAUCCUUACAAUACUUAGAAUUUUUUUUCAUGUGAUGUCUCUCAAUAUUUGUGUUGUUAGUUAUUCGGUUUGUUUUUCUAUUGUUAAGGUUAGUUCUCUAUUGCACACCAAGUGUUUGCUAAAAUGCCUAAAUGAAUAUUCUCACCUGUUUUGGUUGUUACUUAGAGUGUUUUCUAACAUUCUUCGAUUGGUUCCUGUUCUGGGUAUGCAGGACAUGCCUCUUAAGCGAGCUCGGACUACUCCCACCAAAGAAACACCCGGUUCCAAGGGUGCUUCGUCAUUGGGCACACGUCCUCCUCGUGCUCAAAGGAGUAGAGGCGCCAUUCCUUCGGAUUCUUGUAUGCUUGUUAUUCUAGCAUUGGUUGUUGCUACCACCACUUAGACUGCUAUUUUCUACUGUAUGCAGGUUCAUGGACACUGUGCGUGUCGUCAACUUUAUUUUUCUCUCAGUAACUUUACAGGUAGAUGUUCUUGCUGAAAGUGUUUAUGGCUUACUCUAUUUUUUCAGUCGGUGUUUCAUUGACAUAUUAAGGUCAGAUUGUUAGUAUUAUUUGGUUUUAACCUUCAUGCUUUCUAUUUUUGUCAUUGGAUCACAUGUGUUUGAUGUGAUUUCUCAAGGUAAUAGUUCUCAAUUUGUUUUAAGAAAGCUACAAGGUAUGCAUAAGCAUAUUUUGGUGAUGAAAUCAUGUUAUUGGUGUAUUCGUUUGUCAUGAUUUAUAUUGCUUCAUGUUUUCUCAUAGGUUCUCAUCAUACUUUUCUAUGUUGGGAUAAUAUUCUUGAAUUACCUUGUUGGCUAGCUGGUUUGAUUAGAUGCGUUCUUGGUAGUCUUCUGCAAUAAUCCUCCUGCAAUGGUUUUGGGCUACCACUGUUCUACUUUGGGAUCCAUAUGCUCAGUUUGGUCAUCUAUUGUUAGCAAUUCUCUUCUAUUGACUCUCUAAUCUUUCUGACAGUGUAUGUCAUGUCAUCGGAGUCUUAGUGUUCUGGCAGGAAAUUUGCUCUGAAGUUGGAUUGUUGUUUUGUGACUUGGUGACAUCGAUAAUCCUUGCUCAUUCUUCAGUUAAAGUAUUUUUUUUAUGAGUUUGAUGAUUGCUUAUCUUGUUUGGCAUAUGUUGAACUAAUUUUUGGGUUUCACUAGGGGUGGGCUUACAGGUUUAUUCCUUUUAUGUAUCUAUUCCAUUGUGUUUGGGAUAAUAUUUUCUUCUCUUUGUUUAUGAGAUUCUCUAAUUCUUUUUUGUGGUUGGAUGAGUUGUUUCAGGAACAUGUACAGAUUGGAUUUCCCUAUGGAUUCUCAAUGGAUUUUCUUAUACUUUCCAUAUUUCAUCCUGCAGAUACUCAUAUUUCUGUAGUUUUGUCAUGGGAUAUUGUUGGAUGUGUCUAGUAUGCAUGGUUUCCCUAUUCUCUUUCAUAUCUCCUACUAACUAUUGUUUAUCUCUUCUUCUUUCUCUUUUUGCAUAUUCUUUUCUUGCACAUUUCUCACAGGUUUGACUAUUUGGUUCUUGGUCAUUAGUGUACGUUGCCGAUUUCAUCGGUUUUGCGUGUCAUGGAUUCCAGAUCUAUGGUAUGGUUUUCUCUUUCCUCUCUUCUUCUAUUCUUUGGUUCAUUUUGCUUUAUUCUCGUUUUGAUUUAUGUCACCCCUUUGCAUCAUUUGUGACAAAAAGGGGGAGAUUUAUGACUCUAAUACUAACACCUUCUUCUUCUUU